UUCUUUUUAUAUCAUUUGAUUCAUUGUUAAAUAUACUUUCAUGUACAUAUAUAGUUUUACAUAUUUCACAAAUUUUUUUAAUAAGACGAACAGUCAAACAUGUGCUAAAAAGUCAACGGUGUCAAAUAUUUUGAAACGGAGGGAGUAUUUGUUAUUAGAUAUUUAAAAACAAAUGUUGGAAAAAAUAAUUACGUUGAAAAACCCCAAAAUUAAGUCUUAAAUUCAGUUUUAGAAUUUAAAUUUACGAUUUUGCUUUUAUGCGGAAGGCGGAACGAUAGGGUGUUAUCAAACUUACCAUGUUUUGGUUUUGCUAAAAUUUAGAUGAGUUCAUUUUGGCAUCAAAUUAAUUACACUUUUAGUGCAAGGAGAGACGCGAAUGACUUGUUCUAUGACAGUGCUAGUAGUGUGCCGAAGGACGAUGAUAUCCACAUGACGAUCAUCAGCAACCAAGCCCUGAUUUCGACGAUUCUGUACACGCAUUUGAAACUGGAAACUCGAAAUCGUAUGACUAGGCAGAAAACAAGACCAAUCUAUCAAGUAGAAAAACAAUAUCUCCUCUCUCUCUCUCUCUCUCUCUCUCUCUAAAAAAAGCAAUAUCUCUUGAUCGAUCGAUUCGAGUUUGCAUAUCUAUUUCGUUGAAAAUUCCCCAUGCAUUUGGGAUCAUGCAUAUCAUCAGUAUUCACGUAACUAAUUACCCUUUCACCAAAAGAACUGUCCGUCUUCGUUGAAAUUUUCCAAUACACAUUUGGAGUCAUCCAUAUCAGUAUUCGUCCGAUUAACUACGGUUGCACCAAAAAGGUCCCAACUAGUUUCGAUGUUCGAUCUAACCACUGAAAACGCCACACAAACGAAUCCUGGUUAAAUUGGGGAUAAGUUCAGCAGUAGCAGGUACAUACGCCGAUGCGCGGCGAGUGACGAGACGAUGGCCGAUCGGGUGGAUCACGCCCGCUUGUCCAUCAUGGACUUGAACUCGUCGAAGGGGAUGACGCCGUCUCCGCGUACUUGGCCAUCAUGGCCUUGAACUCGUCGAAGGAGAUGACACCGUCGCCGUCGCUGUCCGUGGCCGCGACGAUCUCCGCGUACUCCUCGGCCGUCAGAUCCACCCCGCCGAGCCUAUGCAUCGCGCGCCGCAGCUCCUCCGCCGUGACCACACCGUCCCCGUCCUCGUCGUACUAGUUGAACACCGCCUGCAGCGCCUCCGAAUCCCCGUCCUCCAUCACUGCGCGGAGCUCCUCGAUGCUGUCCUCGUCGUACUCGUCGAACACCGCAUGCAGCGCCUCCGAAUCCCCGUCCUCCAUCACCGCGCGGAGCUCCUCGAUGCUGAGGAACCCGUCCCCGUUCUGCCUAUCCGCCGCGGCGACCGUCUCCUUGGCCUUCCCGCACCCGUAGAAUUCCCUUAUCUCCGCGGCCGAGAGGUGUCGUCCGUCGCCGUCGGUGUCGAAGCAGCGGAAGACGCGGCCGCGCUCCGGCUCGGUCUCCCAUUUCCAGAACGAUGGAUGAACAUCCAGCCUAUCCGAGGGCGGUGGCGGCGACAGGCUACGGCUACGGCUACGGCUGCGGCAGAGGCAACCGCAGGAGAGGACGAGACCCAUGGCGAGACGGAUCGUGCGCCGCGCGUUUCCGUAAUGAUCAGUGCGUGGGGGUUUUGGGGGCUCUUGGCCGAUCGGCCAUUGGCUUCAGGGUUUAGGUGCUCUUUAACGGUUUUCCUAUAAAUUUGUUUAACAGAUUUUAUCCUCAAAAUCACACGAUUUUUUUGGGUUAACCACGUCAUGACGUCACAACCAGAUUAUGUGAAAAAAAUUGAUAAUUUAACACUUUUUUCGUUGUUCAAUUGCUCUAAUGGACACUUGUGAGAAUGACAUGUGUGACCAUAUAAGCGAAUGUAAGUGGGCCAUGAUGUCAAAUAAUAAAAAUCCAUUUUAAGGAGUGUUAAAUUAUCAAAUCUCUAUAUUAUGGGUAUGUUUGGAGAGCUUGAAAUUUUGAGAAACAGUUGAUUGGUAGCUAGCUUUUAAAAAUUUGUUUAUGGCUUCUAAUUUAUUUUUAGAUUAUACAACUACAGAUCCUCGUAAUCUGAACAAGAAGCUAGAUGGUGUCGUUUGUUUCCCAGAUUUGUACUACAUGUUUUAACCGUACAAUGUGCAUUGAGAUCCGUGCUAUGUAUAAGUCGCGGGUACGCUUUUUAAUUAAACCAGGGCACUAUGUAUUUAGGUGAACAAAUUUAUCAUGUAAUCUACUCCCUCCGUUUCAUAAUAUAAGAGAUUUAGGGUGUAUAUGACACUCAUAUUAAUAUAAAUCUAGAUAGGAUAUGUCACAUGACACAUCAACUAAAAAUCUCAUCUCUUAUAUUAUGGGACGGAGGGAGUAUAUAGUUUGUCGGUGACAUGGGACCGGGAGUAUCAUGAAUAGAGGCUUGAGACAGACACAAUCGCCCACGUGGCCUGGCACCCUCGGGGGGCGUCGGGCCCGAGGGUGAUGUGUUCGCCCUCUUCUUUGUCUCCCCAAGGGGGUCGGACCGCUCCCGCCUCGGCCCCGAGGGCCGAGGCGCCCCGACCCCUCGUGGGUUUUCGCUCCGCGUGUAUGGGUUAGGUGGGCACAGUGGGGCUCACCUAACCACAUUUAUUGCGGUUUGGCUGAGCGUGUCACGCCGCAUGUAACGCGGUGCAGUGCACUCAUUUAUCCGGUCUGUGACCAGUCACAGACCGGUCAGAUCGCGGGUUAGGUGGCGACAGGCGAUCUGACGCACGCCUCGCCCCAUCCCGUCAGGACGAGGGCUUCUAGGCACUCGUCCCCAGCUGGAGCUAGCGUGUUACCUCCCAGAGAUGGCACGUUAGUCCUGGUCAGAUAUAUGCCAGGCUUCAUCCUAACCAUUACAGGCAAAAUGUUGUGUGAAGAAGGGCCAACGUGCAGAUUGCUAAGCUGACGCGUGGUGGACAAGAAUGACCGAUUUGUGACCAGUCUGACACCGGUCAUGUCGUCAGCAGACAGCCAUGAUUCCGCGUCGCGCCUGUUCCCGGCGAAAGUGGAGGUAGGUGCGGGCCGUCCCAUCAGAAGGUGACUCGAACGGCAACCAUGCAAAUCUCCGUCCAUUUAUGAAAAGGUAGGGUAAGUCCCCACAGAGAGGGGGGGAUGGUGCAUGUGGUAUCCCCUUAAGAUAUAAAAGGAGGACCUUGCCCACUGAGAGAGGGGGAGUUUUUUCUUGGACUGGACUUUUCCAGAUUAGGAACCCAGAACAAGGGAGAGGCUGGCUCAUACUUUGUAGCUCCUUCACACACGAAUCCACCAAAACACGGGAGUAGGGUAUUACGCUUCUAAGCGGCCCGAACCUGUAUACAUCGCCGGCGUCUUCUGUGCUUCCUAUCUCGCGAACCUUCCACACACAGAUUGGGAGCUUAGAGUCUCACCCAGGGUCCCCGGCCGAACCGGCAAAGGGGGGCCAGCGCGGUCUCCCGGUGAGGAGCCCCACGCUCCGACAUCUGGCGCGCCAGGUAGGGGACUCUGCGAGUGAUCUUCUGAGCUCUUGCACUCUUUCGUGUGCGCCAAGCUUUUCCUGUUCAGCCUCAUGGCUGAGCAAGCAAAGGCGCACAACCUCUCUCCGAGUGUGAGUGGCGACGACGGGGAGCCGAACCCACGCCGUCGAGCUCGUACUCCACCGCCCCCUCCACGCCAAAGUCCUAAGCAGGGGGAGGCGCUCGAGAGGGCCGAAGGAUCCGCGACUUCGACAUCCACAGGAGGUGGAAAGGGGCGGCGAGAUGGGGAGCAUCGCCUCCUCGUCUAUGGUGACGGCAGCACGCCCCAGGGCGCGCUCCAAGCUGCGGGCGCGCUCCUACGUCACCCGCCCGUCGCCCAUGACCCGGAGUCUCCAGCCCAACGCUGGCUGGACGAUGUGGCCAAAUUGGUCAUGACUGCACGGCAGUGUAUAGAUGCUGGUGGGCGGUCCUCCGCCACCAAGGCCUCUGGUGCUGCUACCACCGGCUCCGCGUCGUCAAGACGAAGGGCGCGGCGAGCGGCAGCCGCCGUUCGCCAUUCGGCCACCACUCCUUCGUCGACUCCUUCGGCCCGGAAAGAUCUGCGAGGGAGGCCGGACGCCCGCACCAGCAUCGAGCGGCGGCGUAAUGACCGACGUGCUACCCACGCAACGGAGGGCGCUUCCUCGUCCAGAGUGUCACCUCAGCACAGACGCGGGAAUCAGCCCUCCGUGCCCCCGGUUGGUGGUGUCGGCUGUAGAGCCUUUGUGGCGAGUCUUCGGAAUGUCCGUUGGCCCCCAAGGUUCCGGCCCACCAUCGCCGAAAAAUAUGAUGGCAGCGUCAACCCCGCCGAGUUUCUCCAGGUCUUCACGACCGGGAUUGAGGCCGCCGGGGGUGACGACAGGGUCAUGGCGAAUUUCUUUCCCAUGGCCCUGAAGGGGCAGGCGCGGGGUUGGCUAAUGAACUUGCCACCCGCGUCAGUCCACUCCUGGGAGGAUUUGUGCCAACAGUUCACCAUGAACUUUCAGGGCACAUAUCCGCGCCCAGGUGAAGAAGCGGACUUACACGCAGUACAGCGAAGGGAUGAUGAGUCACUUCGCUCGUAUAUUCAGCGGUUCUGUCAAGUCCGCAACACCAUACCAUGCAUCCCUGCACACGCGGUAAUCUACGCGUUCAGGGGAGGCGUGCGGCACAACCGCAUGCUCAAAAAGAUCGCCUCUAAGGAGCCCCAGACUACCGCGGAGCUUUUUCAGCUCGCGGACCGAGUGGCUCGCAAGGAGGAGGCAUGGACCUGGAACCCCUCCGGUUCCGGUGUGGCAGCUUCGGCCGCCCCCGGAUCCGCCGCUCAGACAGGGCGGCGUGACAGGAGGAGGAAGAAGAGGUCAGCCCAUACCGACGACGAGGGUCAUGUCCUCGCCGUCGAGGGCGCUCCGCGGGCCACCCGAAAGGGGAGGCCUGCGAGCGACAAAAAGAAGGAAGCCGACGCUCCCUGACCUCGGCUACUUGGAAGAGCGAAGGCGGCGCGCGGCCCUUCGAGCCGCGCGCUACCAGCAGAGCCUGCGGCGCUACCAUCAGCGCCACGUCCGGGCCCGAUCACUCUGCGUCGACGACCUCGUCCUACGCCGUGUCCAAACGCGUGCUGGACUGAGCAAACUCUCACCAAUGUGGGCGGGUCCGUAUCGAGUGAUCGGCGUCCCCCGGCCGGGCUCCGUUCGGCUGGCCACGGGCGACGGCACAGAGCUGCCUAACCCGUGGAACAUCGAACACCUUCGUCGCUUCUACCCCUAGUGGGGGUUGGGUGUCAGGUCUUGGGCUCGGGCCAACUCCGCACCCCCCCGGCGUGCAGGGUUGGCCGGGGGCUUAUCUUUUUUCUCUUCCGUAUUUCAAUAAAAGCAUUUUCGAUUUCCUAAAGGCUGUGUCUGUGCUUUUGUUUCCUUUUGAAGAAUCUUGACUUGAAAUAGGUCACUCGUGCUCAAUCCUACCCUCGGGGGCUCGGGUCGGCUAAAAUCGCCAAAAGGGGCCCAGAACCGAGCCGUGCCCCGGGACGUGGUGAACUCCGGGGGGGAAUCGGCAAAAACCCACAAUCGGGUCACCCAUAACCCUCGGUCACCACGCUCCCGGCCUGGCCAGUCUCGACAUGUGGAUCUCCCCAGGCACUAGCCUUGACCCGCGCCGUUUGAGGCUGGGACCUGGGCACGAGCCCUUGUUCAAGCCAAGACACAGAAGGACCGUGGCACAGACCAUCCUCGUCUCAUACACAGAACAAAUGAAAUUGACACAAAAAUUUCCUCUUUAUUUGAUCGCAGAUUAAAUCAGCCUAUAACAAGAAGGGGGCCCGAAGGCCUCGGAAGAAGAAGGAAAAGCUAUUAAGAUUGGCGGAGGCCUGGGGGCUCACUCCGACGCGCCCGGGUAGCCGGCCUCGCCGUCGCUGUUGUCCGCACCGUCGUCACCGCACUCCUCGUCGGAGUUGAAGGCAAACGCGAGCCGAGGGGCCGCUCAUUAUUGUCGGUCGGUUUUCCCUUGCUGAUGCGCGCGAUUUGCGACCGCCGGGAUUCUGCCCGAAGAGAGAGAGAGAGCAGGGAGGAGAGGCCCCCGAGCCGAACGGUGGCCCAAGGCCCCCGACGACCGGAGCAGGCCCUCUGCCCGCUUGUCAGACGGUGCCAGGUGCCCCCGACCCCCAGGAUGGCCCCGAGGCCACUGCGGGAAGGCCGCGCCUGUCGCCCUCUGACCCCGAGGUCGUCGGCACAGAAGCCGAGUGCGCCCCGCGUGGCCUCUCGGAUGGAGAGCGCCCUGGAGAUGUGGCCCCUGACGAAGAAGAUCGGCCCCGCCGAAAGGUGCAGCGGCCCGUCUACUUCGUUAGCGAGGCCCUCCGGGACGCUGAGACCCGAUACCUUCAGGCCCAGAAGAUGCUUUACGCUAUCCUGAUAACUUCGAGGAAGUUACGCCAUUAUUUCCAGGCGCAUCGGGUCACGGUGGUUACGUCUUAUCCCCUCGGCCAAAUCUUGUAUAACCGAGAGGGUACUGGACGGGUGGUGAAAUGGGCAAUCGAACUCUCUGAAUUCGAUUUGCGCUUUGAACCAAGCCACGCGAUCAAGAGCCAGGCCCUCGCCGACUUUGUGGCGGAGUGGACCCCAGCUCCCGAGCUCGUCUCCGCCCCCGAGGCCAGCUCGAGCCCAUCGCAGCUGCCUCACACCGCCCUCUGGGUGAUGUAGUUCGACGGCACCUGUAGGAACCGGCCCCACCUGUCACCAGGCCUUAGAAGUGGCGUCACGCCCGACCGCUUCCCUCGGGGAGGGCGAUCGCCCUGGCAUAACGCCGGGGGCUACUGUCGGUGACAUGGGACCGGGAGUAUCAUGAAUAGAGGCUUGAGACAGACACAAUCGCCCACGUGGCCUGGCACCCUCGGGGGGCGUCGGGCCCGAGGGUGAUGUGUUCGCCCUCUUCUUUGUCUCCCCGAGGGGGUCGGACCGCUCCCGCCUCGGCCCCGAGGGCCGAGGCGCCCCGACCCCUCGUGGGUUUUCGCUCCGCGUGUAUGGGUUAGGUGGGCACAGUGGGGCUCACCUAACCACAUUUAUUGCGGUUUGGCUGAGCGUGUCACGCCGCAUGUAACGCGGUGCAGUGCACUCAUUUAUCCGGUCUGUGACCAGUCACAGACCGGUCAGAUCGCGGGUUAGGUGGCGACAGGCGAUCUGACGCACGCCUCGCCCCAUCCCGUCAGGACGAGGGCUUCUAGGCACUCGUCCCCAGCUGGAGCUAGCGUGUUACCUCCCAGAGAUGGCACGUUAGUCCUGGUCAGAUAUAUGCCAGGCUUCAUCCUAACCAUUACAGGCAAAAUGUUGUGUGAAGAAGGGCCAACGUGCAGAUUGCUAAGCUGACGCGUGGUGGACAAGAAUGACCGAUUUGUGACCAGUCUGACACCGGUCAUGUCGUCAGCAGACAGCCAUGAUUCCGCGUCGCGCCUGUUCCCGGCGAAAGUGGAGGUAGGUGCGGGCCGUCCCAUCAGAAGGUGACUCGAACGGCAACCAUGCAAAUCUCCGUCCAUUUAUGAAAAGGUAGGGUAAGUCCCCACAGAGAGGGGGGGAUGGUGCAUGUGGUAUCCCCUUAAGAUAUAAAAGGAGGACCUUGCCCACUGAGAGAGGGGGAGUUUUUUCUUGGACUGGACUUUUCCAGAUUAGGAACCCAGAACAAGGGAGAGGCUGGCUCAUACUUUGUAGCUCCUUCACACACGAAUCCACCAAAACACGGGAGUAGGGUAUUACGCUUCUAAGCGGCCCGAACCUGUAUACAUCGCCGGCGUCUUCUGUGCUUCCUAUCUCGCGAACCUUCCACACACAGAUUGGGAGCUUAGAGUCUCACCCAGGGUCCCCGGCCGAACCGGCAAAGGGGGGCCAGCGCGGUCUCCCGGUGAGGAGCCCCACGCUCCGUCAUAGUUAGUCCCUAUAUUAAUUUAGCACCAACCAGAGUAUUAAAGGUGGUCUUCAGCGGGUCCAAACAAAACGGGUGGGGCUAAUUGGCUAGCGUUUGCGGGCUGUGAGCCUGUGAAUGGGUCCCAACAACCUAGCAACCUAUUAGCCCCAAAUCUCCUACUCUCUCGCUACCUUUUAGUCUUCCCAUUGUGCCAAUAAAGAAAGUCUUCUUCUUAUGUUGAUUAUGAAAUAUGCCAAGAGUGACCUUUCGGCUUUGGCGGUAGAGUAGGAUCAGGACGUAUGGCGAUGGCAUCGACAAUGGCCUCUCUUUGGUGAACUCCCUCUGCUCUCCCUUUUGCGCGAGGUCCAAAUCCAAAUCAGCUUUGAUUCCUCGCCUUCUUCGUUGCCACCACCUGGCUUGUCGGAGCCAAAAGGCAUCAACGUGCCGCCGCAGCUCCGCCUGACCAGCCUUCUACCUAUCCCCUGUGCCGCCGCAGCUCCGCCCGACAAGUCUUCUACCCAUCCCUUUGUCCUUUUUCCUCUCCUUCGACCGGUCCACGUUAGAAAUUGUUGUAUAUGGCUAUCUAUUUAGAUUUGAUGGGGUAACUGUAAAAUUUCUAAUACAGUAACUGGGGCAGCAGAUUCACUAUCACCAUCACUACAUUAUUCCUUCUUCUAAAGGAGUAUAGAUACACAUGCUUCUUUUAAGAAAUUGUAGAACUCUCGAAGGAGUAUAGACAUACAUGCUUCUUUUAAACGAAGAAAUUAAGAAAUUAUAUAAGUCGAGAAAAAGAAGAACUGAUUUCUUUUAUGGUAUAAACCAAAACAUAGUAAAUACCCCGACAAAGAAAUUGAGGUGUGGCACAAUUUUACAACGAAAAUUUUUGAUUGGAGAAAUACGUGCUUCUGUUCUGUGCGUGGCCUAAUUGGCACACCUGAACGCUUGAUCUCGAGUUGGACGGCCGAAGAUUUCCAGUAAAAACAUGCCUUGAAUAGGUCAGGGCCAGCCAAACCCGGCCCAAACCUCACUUUAUCCGAGAGCCCGUCGUCUCUUCCAGGCUUCAAGCCAUCUCCACCCCCAACCAACCCCACUGCUCUGCUCUUCGCGCGCCUCCACCGCCGAACCCCAUGGCCGCCGCCGCCGCCGCGGGGGCGACGCCGGCGACGGCGAGGAAGGCCCUGCUCACAACAACCGCCACCCUCCUCUCCUCCUCGCUCGCGCGCAGCCGGCGCAGCCUCUCCUGCUCCGCGGCCGCUGCCUCCGCCGCCCCGCGCAUCGCGCCUCAGCCGCCGGACCUGCUCCGAUGGGUGCAGCGGGAGGGAGGGUUCGUGCACCCCGCCCUCCGCGUGGUCGACCAUCCUGAGCACGGCCUCGGGGUCUCCGCCGCCGCGGCCGAGGGAGACAUUCCCCCUGGCGACGUCCUCAUCGCGCUACCCGGCCGCCUCCCUCUACGACUCCGCCGCCCCGCCGGCGCUGCGGACGCGGUCCUCGUGCAGCUAGCGGACCAAGUACCUGGUAAUGGCUCUCCUAGUCCUGGCUCAGAUUUUCAAUUACCUCUGUUAGUCACGUUGUGGAAACCAGUGUGGUAGAUUCAUGUUUGUGAAGAGUUGCUAAUGCAUCAAAAGUAAGAUCUAUUUCUAUAUAAGAAUCAGGAGCAUAAUUGGUAUUGAUUCUGCUGUUGACGUCGGAUCAAUUGAACUGACAUCCUCCUAGUAUUGCGUUUUAGUUCAGUAGCAAUUUUUUCGCCAGCGCGCAAAAGCUUUGCACGCCAAUAUAUUAGAGUUCAGUAGCAGUUGGGUUUUACAAUUUUGAGAAAUGCGGUUGUCCUGAACACCUAAUGUCUAAUGGCGAAUGCUGUUUUCUCGUGUUAAAUUGAGUAAGAUUGAGUCAGGUUUUCCUAUAAUUUACGCUACACAACCUAAUCCUUUGUGUAGCUAAUGUUGUAUUUUGACAUAAUUGCUGCACGAUGGAACUAUUCUACAUGUGCACUCUAUGAUCCUGCCCUCUUUUAGUGUAUGAGGGACUUUACAUUCUAGAAAAUUAGGCUAAGUACCCUUCAGUGACUAACAAAUUCAAUCCUGCGGGAAGCAUGUGACAGAGGAACUAUGGGCUAUGCGACUGGGCUUGAGGCUGCUUCAAGAAAGGGCAAAAUCUGAUUCUUUCUGGUGGCCAUAUAUCGCAAAUCUGCCAGAGACUUUUACUGUACCGAUAUUUUUUCCAGGGGAAGACAUAAAAAACUUGCAGUAUGCCCCUCUUCUCCACCAGGUUGUUAUAAAUUAUUGUAGUUCUUAUUGCAUUUCCCCUCUUCUUUUUUGACUUAUUAUAUUUCAGGUGAAUAAAAGGUGUCGCUUCCUUCUCGAGUUUGAAAAAGAAGUGAAACAUAAGCUUGGUACAGUGCCCUUGGAAGAUCAUCCUUUUUGUGGACAAGAUGUAAACUCAUCUUCCCUUGGAUGGGCUAUGUCAGCAGCAUCUACUCGGGCAUUCCGUUUGCAUGGUGAAAUCCCAAUGCUGUUGCCUCUUAUUGAUAUGUGUAACCAUAGUUUUAACCCAAAUGCUAGGAUUGUCCAGGAAGGAAAUGUGGAUAGCCCUGAUAUGUCAGUUAAGGCAAGUAUCCUGAAUUGUUUGUGUACUUCUGAGCCCAAGAAAUUUUGUAUUUCCUUAAGACAAUUUUUGUUAAUUGAAUGCCCUCUGUUAGUAGCUUUGUUUAUGCAUAACAGCAUAAGUGACAUGUGAAUGCAUUUAUUUAACUGAAUUCAUGGAUAAAUGUAGCCUUUUAUGUUAUCUUACCAUAGAUGCAAGUAACUCUGACCACCUUGACCUUGCUUAUAGGUUGUUGCUGAGACAAAAAUUGAUCAAAAUGCUGCGGUAACACUGAACUAUGGUUGCUACCCUAAUGAUUUCUUCCUUCUUGAUUAUGGAUUUGUAAUAACAUCAAAUUCGUAUGAUCAAGUGGAACUGAGCUAUGAUGGAACUCUCCUAGAUGCUGCUAGCAUGGCAGCAGGAGUUUCUUCGCCUAACUUUUCAGCUCCAGCCAAGUGGCAACAGGAUAUCUUGUCACAGCUAAAUCUGUAUGGAGAGGGUGCUAUUCUAAAGGUUUUGCACACAUUCUUACUGAUCCUAUUUAUUUUUUGCAAUCUAUUGUUGAAUUCAAGUCGUCCAGUAUCCAUGCAGCAAUCUGAACCUUCUUGGUUUUCUGUGGGUAUCACUUGUAAUUUCUUUUCAGGUCAGCAUAGGAGGUCCAGAAAUAGUAGAUGGGCGCUUAUUGGCUGCUUUAAGGGUUAUUAUUGCAGCUGAUCCGGACGCUGUGAGUGGCCAUGACCUCAAGACUUUGAUGUCUCUUAAGGAGAAAGCUCCAUUAGGCCCAGCUGUUGAAGCUUCAGCACUCCGAACUGUCCUUGCACUUUGCACCUUUGCUCUACAACACUUCCACACGAAGAUAAUGGAAGACGAGGCCAUACUAAAAGGAGAACCACCUCUUACUACUGAACUAGCCGUGCAGUUUAGAUUGCAGAAGAAGCUGCUUCUCCUGGAUGUGAUACAGAAUCUUAGUCGCAGAAUCAAGAUGCUAGCUCUAGACAAAUCCACCGUGUAGGAUUUUUCACGUUUUGGAAUUGCUUUCUCGGACAAUCAAUUACCCUAUUGUACUGAUUCUGGAGAUGACAAUAAAGCCCCAAAUUUUGUCCUGUUUUCUUCAUUGUCCAGAUGCCAGAGUCCAAUAUGGCACGGAUGGUUAACAAUCAGAUUGAAUUGAUCGCAAAUUAUAAUCAAGUAUUCGUUGCCAGUUGCAUGUGCUCUAAAAUCUAAAUUAUAUGUUUUUCACUGUAAAAGUAUGUUUUCUUUAGACAAACCGGUUCAUCGGAGAGAGGAAGAUCAUCAAGAAUGAAUGCAUCACAGAUGCACAAUUCAAAAUAGCUAGGCUACAUAACUUUAGUAUUUACAGAACCAAGAUAUAACUUUCCAUUAAUCCUAAGAACUGAAAUUUCCUUGUCUCAACGACAACGACGACGACAAUAAAAUAAAAAGAUUAAUGUACGCAGUACAGCCAAAGAAUGAUCCUAAAAAAACAUCUGCUCAUGUUCGGCUGCUCAAUCAGUCGGGUCUAACCAUGACGAGAGAAGAAAACUCAAGGAGAUCGCGGCGGCGCCCGUACGUCUCCAUCCAAUCCGGCAAUGGGGUGGCGCACGUACGUACGCCUCACGAGUCGCCGCCGAUGGAGAUCGCCGGGCGGGCGGCCCUCCCGAGCGGCGAGCGGGAGCGCUGCCUCGCCUCCAUGUCCCGGAGCACCACCAUCCGCCGCAUCUCCGACACCUGGUGCUGGUACGUCUCGUCCACCUUCACCUUCUCCCCCUCCUCCUGCUUGAUCCGCCUCACCUGGCUGUGCACCACCACCAGCCGCCUCUGCUGCUGCCCUGCAUCCACGUCCCUACCCAUCUCCAUCUCAGCGAAAACCUCCCUCGGCUUCCUCCCCCUCUUGAUUUUUUUUUAUUCUGUCUACAGAGACGAUGGCGAUCACGCGACGAGGCGAAUCCAGACCAUUCGAACGGUGCGUUGCAUGAGAGGGGCGUAUAAAUAGCGGCCGCAUCGCGGGUGUGGAUGGAUGGAUGGGAUCAGGGGACUGACCGGUUCCCCCCUCUCAUCCGCGCCGUUAUUGCGGAGGCAGGCGCAGCAGCUAUACACACGUGUCCUGCUAUCCCGAGCGGUUUAGACGUUUACCCGAUCGAUUGGUCGCCGUCUCGGCGCCAAUUCACCACGUACGCCGAUCCUCCAUGUGUACGGGGUUGACGUCGCGAGGCCGCCGAGUCGUGCCGGUCUGUCCAUUAUCCAGAGUUUCCGGACGGGAUGGACGUUUGCCGAUACGAUUUUGACAUUUUCUUUCUUUUUUCUGCAUGAUUUGUAACGAUGUUUGAUAAACUAUGCGUGUCAUAUCCUUUUCUAUCCGAGGUAAACGCGUCGUGCCAGUUGUUGCAAAAGAUAUAUAAACGCGUCGGUUUAAUUACGUGAUAUGGAGCCGAUAGGGACUCGUCGCACAACGAAGCGAUCGCAAGUGGCAACCGCGCGAGAGAAACGUGUGGGAAUUGGAACAGAGAGUCAGAGCCUAUGGCAAGCUGGGUUGAUAUCCGGCAGUACGUUUAGGACAAUGUUUAAGUCAAACAUUAGGAAUAUAAAUUAUAAAGUUUAAAAAUAUAAAAAUUAUAUGUAUAGAUUUGUCUUGAAAAAUUCUUUCAUAAAAGUAUACAUAUAUCACUUUUCAAUAAAUAUUUUUAUAGAAACAAGAAGUCAAAGUUGUGUUUUAAAAACGGUGUCGCUAUUGUAAACGACUUCCUUUACGAGCAUGGAGCGAGUACGUUGCAACGCGAUUGAACAUCGUCGUCUACAGCUCACUUCGCCGAGUCCCCGGCCCAUCGAGAGGAUGCAUUUAAUUCUGUUAUUUGUUAUUUUUCUCAAACGAGGGUAAAGGUGAUCUGAGUUAAUCUCAGAUCCCCGAAAGCCGGGAUAUCUUUAUUUAUUUAUUUAUUUCAAUGGAGAGUAAGGCGGUUGGAGUUUUGAUCUCCGAUAUUCAUCGAUCGUAUAGUCAUAUUUACGUACUGCAAAGCGAUCGAGUGCAACGGUCAGAGUUUUCAUCUCCGACCUCCCUGGAGAUCGAGUCCCUAUCGAUCGCAUCUGGUGAUCGGAUCGAAAUCUCGCGCGAAACCAGGCGCCUACGUAACGGUGCAAAACAUACCGUCCAUCGGUCUACAGCUCGCCUAGCCGAGUCGCCGAGGCUUUUCGGCCGAGCCUCAAUCGAGGGCAAGGGGAUUCGGAGAUUAAAACUCCGGUUUCCGAACCACCAGGAAAGAUAAGAUGAUUGAAUCGAUGUCUUGCGCCGGAAUUACCAACGGAUGCACCAAUCCUCCUUCUAGAGAGGAUUCUACGCUCAGAGACAAGUCGCUAACCAUGUCGUGCACUGGCGCAGGUAGAUUUUCGAUUUUCUCGUUGCUUGGGUCACAGUGAUAUAUACCAACUACCUGGUAGAACCAGAAGCCGGCUACGGGGUUUCAAAAAGGAAGAAAAUAAAACGUGAAAUCUAUUUCGAGAGCGCUCUCGGUUUAGCUCUAUAGCGUGACGCAUCUCAUAGCCGUCUAACUGUGCACGUCGUCAUGAUGUCCACCCAUGUGGGUGUCUUUUUCUUUUCAAAUAAAGUUCUCGUGGGUAUCUUUUUCCUAUUCAAAUAAAGUUUCCUCUCAAAUUACUUAUCCGAUCUACAAUCCGAUUACACCAUUGUGUUCGUUACAAUUAAAUCUUCACAAACAAGAUCUUACAUGAUUAUGUUACGUUGAAAAAAUAUUUAUAUUUAUAAAUUACUUUUAUUAUAUACAUAAGUUACUUUUAUCAUAUAUAUAAGUUAUUUUUAGAUUUGACUAAAUUACUUCUUAGACAUAUAAAAGUAAAUUCAAUAAAGUCUAAAAGUAAUUUACAUAUAUUCUAAAAGUAACUUAAAAUAAAACAGAAGUAACUUUGUCACGACAUUAGAAGUAAAUUCGUUGUAGGGGAUAAAAUAUGACUUUUUAGUUAAUUCCAUAAUUUGUGCUGAUUAAUUUAAUUUAUAGAUAGAGUCAUGUUUUUAUCUCUACAACAGAUUUACUUCAAAUGACAUGCCAAAGUUACCUUCAUUUUGUUCUAAGUUACUUCUAUAAUAUAUGUAAAUUACUUUUAGACUUACUGAAUUUACUUUUAUAGUUUAAGAAGUAACUUAAUGAAAUCUAAAAGUAAUUUAAACAUAUCAUAAAAGUAAUUUGUGAUUUUUCAUCAAAAUAUAAUCAUGUGAGAUAUUAUUGUAAAUAUUUAAUUGCAACGAACACAACGACGUAAUCGGAUUAUAAAUCGGAUAAGUAAUUUAAGAGAAACUUCUCUAAGAAGAAAAAAAAUACAUAGAUAUUGAGUGUACUAGCUUUUUUUUUUUUGGAAAGGAGGGUGUCACUCCUUAGCACUAUCCAACUAGCACUCUCGGUGUAGUUAAAAUAGAAUCUGGCCUGCUACUACGACUGCAAGUUUAUGAUCGACUGGCGAUCAAUACUCACACGCACAGAGAAGCCGCAGACCGCACAUUCACUCAAAGUGUGUGCAAAACGUGCAUGUUUAGGAUUCGCUUUUGGCCAGCGAAUGUGCAAGCUUUGAUUCAUCAUAUUUACGUACUGCAAGCAAAUACUCCAUUUGGUCAGGAUUCGCUGCAGGACGGCCGCGCGGCACACGGCUGACACGAGCGCACGCUGCGCGAGCGGCGAACGUGCAGAAAACACCGUUCAAUCGAUGCGCCCGGCCACGCGAUGGCCAGGCGUAUGACACGCACACGCUCGUGACAGCGCGAGAUAUCAUCAUAUCAAGCGGCCGAACUGCCAAAAUACCGUACUCCAACACGAGAUGAUUUCAAUCUCUCCCCGCUCCGCUAAUCGUUUGCAUACCGAGAUUAAAAAACUCCGACCCCCGGUAUGUGUGGCCGAAGUUCUCUUUUGUAAAUUGUAAUUAGGAGUAUUUUGGUAAGGGAUGCAAUGGGAUGUGAGUUUUAAUCUCGGAUCCUCGGGAGCGGAAUUUCGUUUGUCACUUUUUUCAAGCGAGGGCAAAAGGAGAGGCCAGAAUUUUUUGUAGGGAGGCGAGGGGGUUCGGACUCCGGAGUAUUGUUCCCCGAACUCCAUGGAUCGCAUCGGAUGGUCGGAUUGACACCUCGCACGGUCGCACCUACCGCGCGCGGAAUCACCACUUGACGGCUUCACCCCACGCCACUCCUUAACCAGCGAGCGUAUCGGAUGGCCACUCCUUCACCAGUCAGCCGUGCUCACACACGACUGACACGAGCGGCGAAUGUGCAAAAAAAAAAAAAAAGACCGUGGAAUCGACGUGCCCGGCCAUGCGAGUACUCGGUGUGUAUAGCCCAUUCGUGACACUACGAGUACGAGAUAUCAAACCAGCCGAACUGCCGCAAAUACCUAACACGUAUGGGUACGGCAAUACGAAUCCCUGCAAACGCGACGUUCGAUCGUAUCGUAUGUACGGUGUGCUUCAGAGUUCAGAAGAGCUCGCGAGGCAGCUGCGUCGUGCAUUUGUCCAUUGUCUCUGGACGGGAUGGACGUGUGUUUGCGGCUUGCAGAUACGAUUUGGCAUUUUUUGCGCAUUUGGUAGCGAUGUUUGAUAAGCUAUGGAUUAGCAUAACUGUGCAUGAUUUGGUAGCGAUGUUUGAUAAGCUAUGAAUAUAUAUGUGCGUGGCAUUCAUUUCUACGCAAGGAAAACGUGUCGUGCCGGUUUUUACACGGGAUAAACGCGUCAACUUAAUUACUUAGCACUCGUAUGUGAUAUGUGGCCGACAGGGACUCCUGAAGAAACGAACCAAUGGCAAGUGGCAACCGCACGAGAGAAACGUGUGGAAUUGGGACAGAGACACACACGGAGCCAUGGCAAGCUGGAUCGAUCUCUAAUUGCAGUUUCCGGUAAAUCACGAAAUUAAAGCCCAUGGGCUUAGCUCGUUUAGAGCACCACGAGCAGAAACGGACGGGCUUUAAGGCCGAUAGGCCCGGCUGAAUGCUACGUUGCGACUACUACCAUUCACAGAGCCGAGUCUCCAUCGAGCUAGUUUUUAGUUAUUUUAGUUAUUUUUACAAACGAGGGUACGGUGGUUUAGGGGCUGUUCAGGUUGAUGUCAUUUUUAACCAUAUUAUUUUUGACAUAAUUGUUAAAAAUAUAUCUACGUUUAGUUUGUUGUCAAACUUUGAUAAAUAUAUAAGAAAUCCUGCCAAAAUUUGUAAGGUUUAUUUUAGCUACAAUCUAAACAGUUACUUAAUCUUCAAUCCACGAAAGCCAGAAUUUCUAUUGUUAAUUUUCGAUCUAGAGAAAGGCGGUUGGAGUUGGCCUGGUUUAUUAAUUACGUACAUCGAGAGAGGGCACAAGUCGGAGUUUUCGGGUCUAUUCAUUUUGAUGUCAUUUUCAGCCAUACUAUUUUUUUUAUAAAGUUGUAAAAAAAUAUCUACGUUUAAUUUGUUACCAAAUUUGGUAAAUACAUAAGAAAUCUUGCUAAAAUUUUAGCAAUAUUACCAUCUUGCCAAAAUUUUAGCAUUGCCAAAAUUUGGUAAGAUUUAUUUUGACUACAAUAUGAACAUGCCAUUCAUCUCCCCCAUUCAUCUCCGAACCCCCCCCCCCGGGAGAUGGAGUCCCCAUGGAUCACAUCUGGAUCUGGUCAUCGGAUCGAAGCCUUGCACGGAACCAGGCGAGCCACGCAGAAUGCAUACGUGAAACGUACCGAUCCAGCGGUCUACAGGAUUACAACUCGCCCAUACGAUCGAGGCCAAGGGGUUCGGAGAUAAAGGGGCGUUUUGGUUUGAUAUCAAAAUAUUGCCAUACUAAUUUUUUUAGUUUAAAUAGUAAAUGUGAUGAUUUGGUUUGAAGCCAAAUAUUUGGUAAUGCCUAUACUCAGUUUGUCACAAUUCUAGAAUAUUCUUCAAAACAAUUUAAAAUUGGCUCUCAAUUGGCAUAAAUCUAAAGACACCCAUUUACAAUUCUACCCUACCAAAAUAUUGGUAGUGCUAAAACUUGCCUAGGGUUCGGCACUACCAACAUAUUGGUAGGGUGCUAAACCAAACAAACCCAAAAACUCCGAACCCUAGGACGGAUGAUUGAAUCGAGGCCUUGUGCAGAAUCAUCCCUGCGAGCCGAUCGGAUUGGAUCCCCCACCUUUCUGGAGAGGAUUCUACGCGCAGUCAACACACACAAGUCGCUGGCCAUGUCGUGCACUGGCGGAGGUAUAUUUUCGAUGCUUGGCCGACAGUGAUACAGGCAUAAAGCCUACCAGGCUACUAGCGCUGCAAGUUUGUGAUCGAAUAAUGACGAGUACUCACGUGUACAGAGAAGGCGCACAGCGCAGUACUCAACUCAAAUUGUGUGCAAAACGUGCUUGUUCUACUACCAAUACUCACCGAAUCAAAGUUUUAAAACAAAUACUCACCGAAUGGCACGUUGAAUCGAGAGGAUGCGGACCUCCACGUCGCCCUCUCGCGCGGGCGGCACGGAGGGCAAACCCUAGCCCCCGCCGCCCCCUCCCUUCCUCUCCCACCCCUCGCCGCCGCCGGAGCGCGCCGACAGAGUUCCGCGCGGCCAGUCGUGAGGGCGGCGGCGAGGCCUUUCCCCGGCGACGCGACGGCUCAGCACGAGGACGACGACGCGGCGCGCGAUGGGCGGGCGACGGCGACGGCGCGGCGCGAAGUUUCGGAUCCGGCAGUGCCGCCACCGGAUCUGGCACCCCCGUGGCUGGAUUCGGCGCCCUGCCGCUGGACCUGGCCGGAGGCGAGCGUCAUUGCCGUCCGCGGCGGUGUGACGGGGCGCGGAGUAAGUGGGGCGGCGGUGCAUGUGCUGGCGGCCAGCGGGGUGGAGGCCGGAGUGGAUCCGGGACCUAGCGGUCGGAUCUGGCGUUGUCGCCUCGUCGCGUGGCGCGGUGGACGGCGGUGGCAGGAGAGCGGCGCUGCGUCGAAGCGGCCCCGGCGCCGAGGGCGGGUUCCGGCCGACAUGUGCCUAGGGCGGCGUGCGACGCAAGGACGGUAACGGUGGUCGGUGGCCCAGCCCUCGGUCGAGGCUCAGGGGCCUGCGUGCCUCCGGAGAUGCCUUGGCCGGUGGUGCGACGACUUGGCGGUGCGUCCUGUGGGUGCCGUCGCCACCGCACCCUCGUCUUCCUCUUCCCCUCCCCCUAGUAUCCUCGUUUGUCUAGUAUCCUCGUUUGUGUGCCCUCUUCCCCCUAGUUCCAAACAUCACUAGUGAUCUUGCCCUUCAACUUCUUCUCAAUCUAGCGUGCUUGUUUGGAAAUUGUGCUCCUCUAGUAGCUCGGAUUGUUGCGGUUCUAUGCCCUCCUCCAAAGUUGCCGUUGAUGUCCUUCCUCUGUAAGAAUCCCCUUGGCCAUUUCUCCUUCUGUCUAGCCCCUGCUCGUCUACACCCUCUUCCUCGAGAUGUCCAGGACCGCAAGGAUCAGUGUUUCUCCCUCCUUUGAGGCUUCCUUCCCUUGAAUAGCGUUGGAGAGAGUUGAUCUAACAAGCAACUUGAUAAAGCCUGAUUAAAGAAGACUUAAUGCGGGUGGCCUCGAGCCACAACCUUCAGUGGCCCUCCCUCCUUUGGGGCUUCCUUCCCCCAAAGGGCGUUGGCGAGCUCUGAUCCAAACAGCAACAAGAUCAAGUCAGCUUCUGGAUAGCUUCAUGCGGGUGGCCUUGGACUUCAACAGCAUUCCCUUGGCCUCUCUUCUCUUCCGACAUGCUUGUGGCUGUGUGAGGAAUUGGAUGUUGAUUAGUUGGGGUUUAGCAGUAGGUUUGGAAUUUGGCAAGAUAAUUUUGCAUGUGUCGUUCAUCAAUUGUAAUCUUUAGGAGGUUUUUUUUCUCUGUUCUCUCCUCAUUGUAUUCUCCAUGUAUUCUGUUCUACUAUCCUCCAGGGUCACUGCGCUUGCGUAGGUAAAGCUUGCCCUGUGUAAGAUCAUUUGGCUCAAUAUAUUUAGGUGGGGAUUCUCUCCCCCCGUGAUUUAGUAAAAAAAAAAAAUACUCACCGAAUCUCUUAGCUUUUCGGAGAGGAUUUGCUGCCGGUCGCCGCUACCUCGUGGCGGUGACAUGGACUGGAGUCACUGGACGGCCGCGCGGCACACAAGCGCACGCGCGCCGCGAGCGGCGACCGUGCAAAAGAGAAAAAAAAACACCAUUCAAUCGCCAGACGUAUAACAUGCACGCACACGCUCGUGACACGGUGAGACGAUAUCAUCAACAUCAAGCACCCGAACUGCCGAAAUACUGUACCUAACACGAGAUUAUUUUUUAAUCUCCCUCUGCGCAGCUAAUCGUAGCACGUAUCUAACUAUGCAUGGUUUGCAUACCGAGAUUAAAGGAAAUGGCUAUACAUGUUACCCGUGCCAUGUGUACAACCUGCAUUCGACUAACAUGCACAAGCAUAACUUUUGCUUGCGUGGUCCUACAUAGAGAGAAACCGAUCAUGGUGAUUGGUGGACGUAGCAUGGUUGGACGCAUGUUGUAUACAACACAGUUGUACGAACAGCAGGACUGCAGGAGUUGAGAUUAAAACUCCGACCCGCAAAGGCUGAUCGAAUUUUAUUUUUUUUUUGCCGUUAGGAGUAUUUUGGCAAGCGAGACAAGGGGAUGUGUUCUCAAAAAAGACAAGGGGAUGUGAGUUUUAAUCUCGGAUCCUCAGGAGCGGAAUUUCGUUUGCUAUUUCUUUAAGGGAAGAGGCAUUCAUAGGCGUCCAGAACAUUUUGUCGUUCCGUUUUUCAUUGUUUCAAGCUGAUGCAAGGGGGUUGGGAGUUUUAUUGUCCGACCCCCAAGCCCAAGGGAUCGCAUCGGAGUCGGACAGACGGAUCGGCACCUCCACCAGCAGGCUGCGCGCGGCGAUUGUGCAAAAAACACCGCGGAAUCCACGAGCCCCGGCCAGCCAUGCGAGUAUGUGACAGCCAAGCGUAUAGCCCAGUGACACGACGAGAUAUCAAACAGCCGAACUGCCGAGUUACCAAACACGGAAACACGAAUCACUGCAAAUAUGGUGUCCUAAUUCAUAAGAGCUCGCUUAAUUGGAACCUUUUUCUGGUCGCCUUUUCCCAGCCGAAUUUUGACUCGCAGCUCAUAUACGCCUUUUCAGGCUACGUAGAAAGAGUGGAAGACUGCUUCCGACGUACUAGUAGCAGACAAAAGAACGGCGUAUUAGAGUACUCACAAUGUCUGAUCAGGCAGAGCUUUCAGGGUUCAACUAUUCGGAAACUGGAUAGCCAAAGCCCAAAACACAGGUCCACGGCAAGCUACUGGCCACACUGGCAAGCGAAUCAGCGAUUGGCUACAGCUCUCUGCUCGGCAUAUAGGCCGGCCUAGCUAGUGGCACACAAAAGCGGGCCGCACUGGUCAAGACAUUUCUCCAGAGACUGACCGUACGUCGUCGUCGACGCCGUCGCCAAUAUUUGAUUGGUGACCGGUCCUGCUUGGCAACCUUGUACGUAAGGGUGUAAGUGGGUAGGCUUAUGAACCCAUUUCUAAUAUAAAUAAACAGGUAACUCAUCGAUUAUCCGUUUAUUUGUACUAUAAGUAAAUUUAUAGAUUUAUUCGCUUGCACACUUACCUGUAACAUCGAUCCAUAUUCUUGAUCGUUCGGAUGCAUUCAUUUACCACUGCAGUAGAAGUUUGUAUACUUCCUCCGCCUUAAAAUAUUAUGAAUUUACUACGAGUCUGUAUUGGAAGAUGCAUUAUAUUCAUUUAAAAUUCUUUACAUUUUAGAACGCAUAAAGUACUUUGUAGUACGUGGCUAUAGAAGAGGGCCUUGUCCACAUCGCGAGGACCCGUUCAUCCCAGGCAUGCUGGUGAUGACAACGAAAUCAUCCCGAUCUCUCUCGACUCCUCCGGUCCUCCCCCGAUAAUAAUCAACAAGAUUAUAUUUUACUCCCUCCGUCUCGAAAUAUUUGGCGCCGUUGACUUUUUUAAACAUGUUUGACCGUUCGUCUUAUUAAAAAAUUUAAGUAAUUAUUAAUUCUUUUUCUAUCAUUUGAUUCAUUGUUCAAUAUACUACUAUUAUUCAAGUUUUUGAAUAAGACGAAUGGUCAAACAUGUUUAAAAAAAGUCAAUUGCGCCAAAUAUUUAGGGACAGAAGGGAGUAGUUCUGAAAUGAAAAACAUUACUCCCAUUUUACCCUACCCUCUAGAAUUGUCUGCCAUAGAAUGUUGUUCAGCUACACAAUAAAACGAUCAAUGUCCAUCCGCCCGGUGCUACUGCACGGUAGAGUACUUCAGCAACCCAAUGUCCACUCGGUAUGAUCUUCAUCUAGAAGGAACUGAAUAGAGGCGCGGCUGAGCUUCUUAUAUCCUAUGCUUUGUCUCUCAUAACUGAUAUAAGCCGUAAACGGUUUAUCAACAACUAAAAAAUUAAUCUAUACAUAAAUGUUUUAUAUAUUGGCGUGUUCGGAUGAGAGUUUUGCAGCAGCGUUGCGGCUGCAGAAUGGCUGCAGCUUGCAGCGAUUUUCAACUGCCGCAGGCAAUGGGUGCCAAACACUCACCAUGUAUCCUUAUCGAUUUAAAAACAGAUACUAAGAAUAGACUAUGAUUAAAAAAAUCUCAAAUCAAAAUAAAGAAUUAAGUUUCAAAUUUAAAUUUUGAUGGCAACUUAUAAGCUGAAACACACACACAAAAAAAAGUAGACAUGUAGCAACACACAACUGUUGAACGAACAACACUGCUACCAUAGGUGCCGGUUCCUAAUGGCCCAUAGGUCCGGAUUUUCAUCCGACAUCAAUUAGUCGGCACCAAUAAUAACAACCGACAUCUAUAACGAAAAUAGAACCGGGACCUUUACCAUUGCUCGAGCCAGAGAGAGAGAGAGAGAGAGAGCCGGCUCGAAUUCGAGAAGAACUCACCAAGCGCCGUCACCGGGCAUGCGCCCCAAACCCCAAAAUCAUCCACAAAUCAUCAACAAAAUAAAUUGAAUCACAUAAUGAACAUAUUCAACAACAAAUUCACACAGACAUCAACAAAAAAUCUACAAUAGACUGGGGAGAGGCGUAGAGGGGAGGGCGCCACCGCUGCCCGCCACCUGUCGCCUCCCCUCCCGCCGGAUCCAGCGAAGGGGAGGGCGCCGUCGCAACCCAUCAGCUGUGUCACACCCUGAAGUUUCCCCCCCUUUUCUUGCUUUAAAAAUUGGUUAAAUAAAUUGCCCGAAGAAAUUAUCUUCAUUAACCUAGAGCUAAAUCCCUAGUUAAUAAAUGCAAUUAAUAAUCAGAAAUAGCGUGGUGGAAUUUUUCUUGAGUUCCCCAUGCUCCAAUGCAUUAACAAGAUUUUUAGUGGAAUUUUCAGAGCCUUGGAAAUAAUUUUAACCAAUUAAAAAUCACCAAAGUGCAAUUUUAAAUCCCAGGAAAAAUCCUUUCUUCUUUUUCUUUUUCUUUUCCUUCUUUUUUCUCUAUUGGGCCGUCGGCCCACUCCCUACCGCGCUCGGCCUCCUUCCUUUGGGCCGGCCCGUUCCCCUUUCCCCUCUCUCCGGGACGCUGACAGGUGGGGCCCACCUGUCAAGUCGUCCCCUUCCUCCAGCCGCCUACCCCACGACGGCAACCGUCGCCGAAACCGUCCGCGCCGCCGCCUUCUCCGCUCCACGCCGCGCCCCCACUCCGCGUCCCCACGUCGCCGCCCUCCCCGCCAUUCCCGCCCGCACGCGCGCCCGCAAAUGGGCGGGAUUCGAUUUGAAUCCCCCCCACUCUCUCUCUCUCCCCCCACGUCGCCGGCCAAAUCGGGGGGUUUCCCGGCCAUGUCCACCCCUCUCGAGCCCCUAUAAAGCUUCCCCGCAUCUCCCUCUCCCUUUUCCCCUUUUCGCCGCGCUCUCCCGUGCCUCCUACCGCCGCCGCUUCCGGUCACGCGCCGCAGCCGCUAGAGCCGCCGCCGCGCCAAGCCGCCGCCGCCAUUAGCAUUGCCGCCGCGUGAGCCACCUCGGCCGCCGUUCGGUUUCCGCUAAACCCCACCGGAGCCCAGUUCUCCUCGCACACCGGUGAGCUAUCCAUUCUCCUUCGUCUCCGGCCAACAAUGGUGGCCGCCGUGGUCACCCUCUCUACUCCUAAUCCUUCUCAACUCCCUCCGUAGGUGCCGCCGCCGCCCGUCCGCCCCUCCUUAUCGCCAGGUCAUCGCCGCCACCUUCAUCCUCCGCUCCGGCCGCCAUACUCGCCGGUGAGGAUCCCCCCUCCCUCUUCCCCUCUCUCUCGUUUGCGCCGACUUUCUCCACGAGCUCGCCGUCGCCUUCGGUCGACGCCGCCGUCCUUUACCCUGUCCGCCGUCGCUUCUUGCGCCGCCGAUUGCCGUCGCCGGCGACCGUGCGCGUCGCCGCCGGUUGCCAUGGCCGGCCGGCCGGUUUUGAAGCCGUGCCGAGCCGUGCCUAGCUGCCGCCGUGCCGUCCGAUCGGCCUCCCGGCCGAUCCGGACCGUCGGUCCCGUGGACCGGCGGUGGACCACCCGCGUGGUCCCGGUCCACGGUAGACCGGCCACCUUGAGCCACUGCCCGUGGGGCCCACAUGCCGGCGCCCCCUUCCUCUCCCCUUUGAGCCGCUGACCCGUGGGCCCCGCCUGUCGGCGCCGCCCCCCUAGAUGACGUCAGCCCUGGGUAUUAUUGCGCAAUAAUUAAUUAAGGACUUUUUCUUUAUUAGUAAAAACACAGUUUAUCUUCUAAAAUUCAUAAAUAAUUCAUCCGAGCUCCGUUUAAGUCCAUUCAAGUCUCAGUAAAUCAAGAAAAAUGCAAAGAAUCCAUUAAAAAUGGUUUUGUUUCCUGUUUCAGUAGUCUUAUAGCAUGUUUUUCUUGUGUGCUUUGUUUGUCGCGUUUCGGCCGUUUCGUCGAUCCGCGGUUUCUCGAAGACGUUGCUGAGGUCUCAUCAGUUCGAGAGCAAGGCAAGUCAUGCAAUACGUUUGAUCAUAUUGUACCCAAUUUACCAAUAUCCCGCAUUUCUAUUAAAUGUUGCAUUCUUUUACAAUGUAAUGUGGGAUGAGUCCUAUUCCUCAGCCACAUAUUGGUUACCUUAUGCCAUUGAUAACUUGGGUAUCAAAAUGACUAGAUGUUGGCUUAGGAAAUGCUUAGCCAUGCUUAGUUCAACUAGUACACAAAUGGAGAUCACAUUAUUACAUAGACUCUAACUAUUGGCAUAGCUUUAGAUUGGUGCCACCGCAAGGGUGUCAGUUAAUUAAAAUAUUCUGAAUGGCGGGCUGUGAGUGCAUGGUUUUGCUGGUCGCACCUAUGGCAGUUAAGGACCGGUUCACGGGAAACCCUGGGAGACUUACCGUGCUUACCACAAGCGGGAAUGGGUAACUGCUUGAUCUGAAGUAUAGCUCGACCCUUUCCUAGGCACCGGUGGCGAGGGUGGGCGUGAUGGAAUUGGGUCGGCCGAGGUGUUCGGUUGUCCAGCUGCCGUAUUCACCGCGGCGCAAGAGGGGACCGCCCACUGCCUUUUGAGGGGUGGGGGUGAAACCUUAGCGUGGUGUGGAUGGUUAGGGGAGGGUUAUGUGGAGGGUCUUGUCAUGAUUUCCCCCUUUGCAGUAUCAUGGUGAUACUUCGGGGCAUGGCAACAUGUGUGGAAUCGUGUCUUGUGGGUACAGUUGUACACCUCUGGCCAGAGUAAAACUAUUCGAAUAGCCGUGCCCGCGGUUAUGGGCGAUCAACCAGAUUCACCGUGAUUAGUCUCACCCCUAGUUUAGCUUAAUGAACUGGUGUAGUUCAGGUGGAUGGUUGGGCCUGUUGCAACGUGGUGUAGCGUUGGACAGUGAUUGGUUAAUAUUGAUUAAUUACUACAGCUGUUUUACUGCUUUCAACUACUGCUUUGAAAUGCCUGCUUUAUGCAAAAGAACCCCUAGCUUCCUUUGGUUAUAUCCUGCAUCAUACCUCCUCUUCCGGUAUGACUUGCUGAGUACAGUGGGUAGUACUCAAUCUUGCUCUCUUUUCCCCCACACCAGAGUUGAAGUUCUUCUCAGUUGGAGCCGUCUCAGAGGUUGGUUUUGUUGCUGCCGUCAAGGUUUGCCUGUGGAGUGGAGUCGCCCGCUGCUGAAGUCAAGCUUCCCGGUUUAGCUCGCUUUUAUCUUUCCCGCUGCAUUUGUAAUCUUUUAUAUUUUUGUAAGACGUGGGUCUGUAUAUCAACAAUUGUCGUUUGUGUACCCUGGCUGGUCCUGGACAGGGAUUUAAUGCACAUUCAGCUUAGAAAUUCUGGUGUGACAAGCUGCCGCCUGCCGCCUCCCCUCCCGCUAGAUCCGGCGGAGGGGAGGGCACCGCCGCCGCCCGCCGCCUGCCGCCUCCCCUCCCGCCGGAUCCAGCAGAGGGGAGGCCGCCGCCGCCCCUCUAGCCACAGCCACACGCUGAGAGAUGUGAGAGAGCCGAGAGAGAGAGGGGGGGCAAGAGAGAGAGACAGACGAGAGAUGUAACGCCCCGAUUUUCGUUCGGGAAUAAAAAUCAAUUAAUAAUACAUUUUCUAGAAAUUAAAUAAAAGUUAAAUCAACUUAAUCAAGUGAAUUAUUGAGGGAAUUAAAAAUUUCCUUUAAAAAUUAUUGGCCGGGAAUAUUUUGUAAUAUUCUUUGUGCCCUAAUGUACUCUCCGAAAUUUUCCGUGAAUUUUCGGAGCUCGAGAAAUAGUUUUAAUAGCACAAAGAUCAUUGCAUCAAUUAAAAUAAAAAGAAAACAAAUAAAAUCCUCCUUCCUCUCUUUGGGCCCCUUUCGGCCCAAUCCCUCCUUUCUCUCCGCGGCCCGCGCGCCCCCUUUCUCUCCCUCUCGGGCCGGCCUCCUCCCUCGGCCCGCUCGGCUCUCUCUCUCCCUCAAGUCUGUUCUGCCUCCCCAGCCGGCCUCUCCCUCCCUCUCUCUUCGACAGGUGGGACCCGUGGACCCCACCUGUCAUCCCUUUCUUCCAGCUCCAACUGCCGCCAUGGCCGCCUGAGCCACCCCACGACGCCGCUUCCUCCGCGCGCCUCCACGCUCCCGCGCGCGUGCAGACGUGGUCCACCCCACGUCCUCCCCUUCCUCCACUUUCUCCCCCAUUUCCCCCCCAAAAAUCGGCGCCGUUCGAGCCCCACUCGCCCACGUCGCCGGAGCUCCAUCCGCCGGCCGUUGCCGCCCGCCAUGGCCACGAUCUCCCCCUCCGGGGCCUAUAAAAAUGCACCCCGACCUCCCCUCAUCCGUUUCCCCAACUCACUGCCCCCUCCUGCGCGCUCUCUCGAGCUCCCCACGCCACUCCCGUGUGCCGCCGCACGCCGACGACCCUCCAGCCGCGCGCCGUCGCCGCUUCCGUCGCCCCCGCACUGCGCCGCUGCCACCUAUAGCAUUGCAGCGUCCCACCGCACCCCGGCAUCCGCUCCAUUUCCCCUCCCCGCCUCUGAAACACCGUCGCCACGCGCACCACCUCUCUCCACCGUCUUUACCACCUCCAGCCGCCGCUUGGCGCCGCUCCUAACCACCCCAAGCAGCGCCGCCGCCGCCGCUCGCUUCGCAGCGCCGAGGAGCACCUCGGCCGCCGCUUUUCACGGCCAGGAUCCCGCCGGGACACGGUUCCCCUCGCGCCGGUGAGCAUCUGCCGCCCGUUCUCACCUCCGACCAGCGAUUCAUGCCGCUGGGAGGCCUCUUUCCCCCUCCUAACCUCUCCCCCAUCCUCCCUAGGUCCUUCCAGCCGCCGUCCGCUGGUUCCCGCUCGCGGAACGCCGCCGGGCCGCCGUUCCGCCUUCGUCCCGAGGAGCGCCGACGCCGAGCUCCCCGCCUUUCCCCGCCCCUUGUCGCCGCGUCCUUGGUGAGCUCCUCCUCUCCCUCCUCUGUCUCCCGUGCGCGCUGCCGCGCCGGUGGCCGCCUGUCACGCCCAGAAAUUCCCGAGUAGAAUUCCAAGUAGAAUGUGCAUUAAAAUCCCCAUCCAGGACCGGCCGGGGUACACAAACGACAAUGUUGACAUUCAGAUCCACGUCUUACAAACAUCAUAAAAGUCUUACACAAAUGCAGCGGAAGAAAAGAAAGACGACAGGAGCUACGCCUUGACUAGAACUGCAGCGGGAACACCACUCCACAGGCAUCCUCGACGGCACGGACGAAGCCUACUCCUCGGAGAAACCUUCAUCUGACACACUCUCGUACUCUGGGAUUGGGAAAAGUAGAGCAAAACUGAGUACUACCCACUGUACUCAGCAAGUCAUACCGGAAUAGAGGCAUGAUGCAGGGAAUCAUCAAAGAAGAGCUAAAGUGGUUCAUUUGCAUAAAGCGAGCAUUUAUAAACAGAAGUUGAAAGAUUAAACAGUUGUCACAUUUAAUUAGUAUUAACUAUCCACUGUCCAACGUUAUCCCACGUUGCAAUAGGCCCAACCAUCCACCUAAACUAUCCAAAUUCCAAAAGAUUACACUAGGGUGAGACUAAUCACGGUGAAUCUGGUUGACCGCCCAUAACCGCGGGCACGGCUAUUCGAAUAGUUUUACUCUGAUCAGAGGUGUACAACUGUACCCACAAGACACAGCCCCACGACACGUUACCGUGCGCCGACAUGUCACCACGACAUACCGGAAAGAGGCCGUGACAGGACCCUUCGCAUAACCCCCUCUAACCAAGCACACCACACCUCAGGUUUCACCCCCACUCCUCGCAAGGCAGCGGGCAGUCCCCUCUCGUGCCUAGGUGAAUCCGGAAGCGACAGAGGCCGUCGCAGGGCCCGCCCCGCUCCAUCACGCCCACCCUUGCCUGGAUGCGUCGGCUCGAGGAGAGCUACACUACAAGCCCAGCCGUUGCCCACGCUGGCUUGUGGUAAGUACGAUAAGUUCUUCCAGGGCAUCCCGCGAACCGGUCCUUAACUGCCAUGGGUGCGACCAGCAAAACCAUGCACCCACAGCCCACCAUGUGAUUUAUUUUAAUUAACCAGCAUCAAAGCGGUGGCACUAAUCCAACAAUCUGAACAUUAAUAAGAUUUUCCCCAUUGUGCACUAGUUGAACUAAGCAUGGCUAAGCAAUCCCUAGUCCAAUCUCUAGUCAUGUUAUAACCCCAAGCUGACAAAGGGACAUGGUACAACAAUAGCAUGGCUAUGACAAUAGGUAAACACCCCAUAGUAACAUUAUAAAACAAUGCAAUAUUUGAAGGAAAAAAAUAGAGCAUUUGCAAUAUAGGAUCAACAUGUUCAAGUGACAAGCAUGACUUGCCUUGCUCUGCUGCUGGAGGAACCUCGGCGACUAUUUCGAAGUACACCGGAGCGUCGGAGGAACCGGAAUCUAGCGACAUACAAGGCAAACAUUGCAAACAGGCUAUAAGACUACUGAAACAGAGAACAAAACCAUUUUUAAAGGAUUCUACACAAUUUUCUUGAUUUACUGAGACUUGAAUGGGCUUAAACGGAGCUCGGAUGAAUUAGUUAUGAAUUUUAGAAGAUUCACUGUGUUUAUUACUAUAACAAAAAUCCUUAAAUAUUUUAUUGCGCAAUAUUUUCCCAGGGCUGACGUCAGCACGGAGGGGGUGCGGCGCCGACAAGCGGGGCCCACUGGUCAGCGGCUCAAGGGAGAGCGGUUCACCGUGGACCGGGACCACGCAGGUGGUCCACCGCCGGUCCACGGGACCGACGGCCCAGAUCGCCCUCGGGCCGAUCGGACGGGCGGCGAUAGAGGCGGCCGCCGGGCUCGGCUUGGCAUCAAAGCCGACCGGCCGGCCAGGGCUAGCGGCGGCGGCACGCGCGCGUCGCGUUGCCGGCGACGGCAUCCGGCGGCGGGGCGACGGCGCAAAAGCGACGCGAAAGCGGCGGCAGCGGACGGCGGCAACGACCGAAGGUGACGGCGAGCGCGAGCGGCAGCGACGCACGGGGAAAUGGGGAAGAAAAGGAAAGGGGAGGGAGUCCUCACCGGAGGGGACGGCGGCGUCCGGCAACGAGGAGCGACGGAGGGAGGUCGACACGCGGCGGACGGCGACCGGGACGACCUAAAGAGCGAAAAGAAAGAGGUUAGAGAGGAAGAGAGGGGCCAUAGGAGACGGGAAUGCCGGCCGAAAGCGGCGGACAUGGCGACCCUCACCGACGCACGAUGGGAAUGGCGCUCCGGCGACGAACCUCGACGAAGGAGGGGUGGACGGGGUGGAUCUCGGCCCCGCGAACCCGACGGCGGCGACGGCGCGGUGCGGCGGCGAGCCUAGCGGCGGCUAACGGCGGCCGGAGUAGCGGAGACGGCGGCGGCGAGUGGUUGCACGGCGCGGGAGCGAUGGGGAGCACGAGGGAGUUCGGCGAAAUGGGGAAAAAGCGAGAGGGAGCGAUGGAGAAGCUUAAAUAGGGGAGGGGAGGGCCGGACGUGGCCGGGAGAGGUGGGGCUUCGCCGGCCAACGUGGGAAGUGGGGGAGGAGAGAGAGGCGGGAUUCGAAAAUCGAAUCCCGGCCAUCUCGGGCGCGGGCGCGGGCGCGAGAGAGAGGGGAGUGGGCGCGGGAGAUGCGGCACACGCGCGGACGUGGCUGACGUGACCCGGAGAAGGCGGAGGCGUGGGCGCGGCGGCGGUUGCGGGCGCGGCGGCGCCGGCUGGAGGAAGGGGACGAGUCCGACAGGUGGGGCCCACUUGUCGGCGUCCCGGGGAGAGAGGGAGGGGCGGCUUGGGCCGGCCCACGAGGAGGAGGGCGCGUGCGGCGGGGUUGGGGAAGGACCCGACAGGUGGGCCCCACCUGUCGGCGACCCCGGAAGAGGAGGAAGGCGGGGCGGCCUGGCUGGGCCUCGGCCUGCGGCCGGCCCAGCAGGGAGGAGGGGGAGGAAAGGAGAGAAUGGGCCAGCGGCCCAUUCGAAAAAAGGAGGGAAAAAGAAAAAGAAAAAGGAGAAAAGGUUUUUUCCUGGAAUUAAAAUAUUGCUUGCUCAAUUUUAAUUGGUUAAAAUUAUUUCUAGGGCUCUGAAAAUUCCACUAAAAAUCCUGUUAGAGAAUUUCGACAUGUAGAACUCAAGAAAAAUUCCACAUGCCAAUUCCGAUUAUUAUUUGCAUUGAUUUAAAAGGGUUUACUCUUGCUUUGCACCGGUAUUUUCUUAGGGUCAUUUAUAAAUUAAAUUUAGGCUUGGGAGGAGAACUUCGGGGUGUGACACCGCCGCCGGCGACCACCUGGCCGUGCGCCGCCGCCCCGCUCGCCUGGGCCGCCCGGACCCCCCUUGUCGCGCCGCGUCGAUCUCGUGCGCCGCCGCCGCCCAUGCGUGCCGCCUCUCCCGCGCCGCCCGUCGGUCGCCGUCGCCGGAGACCGCGCUACCGCCGCGCCAUGGCUCAGCUAGGCCGGCUUUGUGCCGUGCUGUGCCCCAGCCGCGCCGCCCCUGGCCGCCCGAUCGGCUUGGGCCGAUCCGGACCGUCGGUUCCCGUGGACCGGUGGUGGACCGGCGCCCUUGUGCCGCUGACCGGUGGGGCCCGCUUGCCGGCGCCGCCCCUCCCCCUUUGAUGACGUCAGCAACCGUCUUUUCCUUUGGAAAAAUAAAUAAUAAUUGCGUCAUAAUUCGUUAAUAAUUCUAGAAAUCCAUUUAAAUGGCUCAAAACUUCUAAAAUUCAUAUCUAAUUCAUUCGAACUCCGAAUUGAGCCGUUCAACUUGCAAAAUUCAUCUAAAAUUGAGCUCUACAUGUUUGUUUAGUUUUUAUGUACUGUUUCCUUGGUUUUUAUUAGAGUUUUUCCUCGUUUUGCGUGCCAGCGUGUAGUUCCCGUCGUUUCGGAAGAUCGCGUUCGCAAGGAUAAGAGUUCAGAAGAUCCAAGUGAAGAAGCAAGGCAAGUCACACAUUCCCUUUGAGCAUGUUGAUCCCAAUUUAUAAAUGUUUUACCGUUUACAAAUAAAUAUGCAUGUUUUGCUAAUUACAUGGGAUCCGGGUAUUACCUAUCUGCUCGCUUGUGCCAUGUUUACUUGAUAUCUGUUCUUUGUCAACCUUAGAUAAUGAAUCGACUAGCUCAUGUUACUUAUGUGACCUAGCUAGAACUAUAUGCUUAGCCAUGCUUAAUUACCACUAGCUCAGUUGAUGGGAUAAUUACAGUAUUAGACCUUUUUAGUAUCAGAGUGAGCUGCGUGCUCGAGACAUCUGGCCAUGCUUCAUGGUCGUAAUUAUCCAACUAAAAUGCGACUGAAUGGUGGGCUGUGGCUGCAUGGUUUUGCUGGUCGCACCCAUGGCAGUUAAGGACCGGUUCGCGGGAUGCCUUGGAAGAACUUAUCGUACUUACCACAAGCCAGCGUGGGCAACGGCUGGGCUUGUAGUGUAGCUUUCCUCUAGUCGACGCAUCCAGGCAAGGGUGGGCGUGAUGGAGCGGGGCGGGCCCUGCGACGGCCUCUGUCGCUUCCGGAUUCACCUAGGCACGAGAGGGGACUGCCUGUUGCCCGCUGGGGACGGGGGUGAAACCUGAGGUGUGGUGUGCUUGGCUAGAGGGGGUUAUGCGAAGGGUCCUGUCACGGCCUCUUUCCGGUAUGUCGUGGUGGCAUGUCGGCGCACGGAAACGUGUCGUGGGGCUGUGUCUUGUGGGUACAGUUGUACAGCUCUGAUAAGAGUAAAGCUAUUCGAAUAGCCGUGCCCGCGGUUAUGGGCGGUCGACCAGAUUCACCGUGAUUAGUCCCAUCUUAAUAAAUCGACCCAAUACACUGUAGUUCAGGUGGGUUGGUUGGGCCUGUUCAACGUGGUGUAGCGUUGAUCAGUGGAGAUUUAAUGUUACUUUAAUUACUCAACAGUUUUACUGUUUUGCUCAAUAAAAUGUUUUAUAACCGCCUUUAUGCAAAUAGCCACAAACCAUCCUUGUAUCCCCUUGCACAUCUGCAUCGUUGGUGUGGCUUGCUGAGUACGGUGGUUGUACUCAGUCUUGCUUUUAUUCCCCCUUUUCAGAAGUGUAGUACUUCUGAGCUGAAGACGAAGUUAGAGGACCAAGGCUCAGACCCCAGUUGAGUUUUGCCUGUGGAGUGGAGCUGAAGCCCCGCUAGGAUCGCCUUUUUCCGCUGCUGCUGCUUUCGUUUCGGUGCGAGGACUAAGUGCCUCUUUUGUAAGUAUUUUACGCUUUAUUUACGUUUGGAACUGUAUAUUACUUGUCGUUUUGUGUACCCUGGCUGGUCCUGGACAAGGAUUUAAUACACAAAAUAGUCUGGAGAUUUGGGCUAAAUUUCUGGGCGUGACAAGAGAGAUGGAGAGGGGAUAAGGUUCACUCAUAUAGGGGAUAAGGCCGAUGCGUCGGCCUAGAUUGGCUCGGCAGCUCGGCUCAGUUUGGAUAGGUGCCGGUUUUUUUAAAAAAACUGAUACCUAGGUGCCUUUUUAAUUAACCGACACCUUUAAUAUAUUAAAGGUGCUAGGUUUUAAAAAACCGGCACCUAUACUAUAGAUGUCGGUUUUUCUUUAGAACCGACACAUAUAGUUGCUUAAAUGUGUCGGUUUUAUGUGUUUUCAGCCUGUGGAGGAGGUAAAAUCACUAUAGGUACAUGUUUUAGUUGUUCCCGUACCUAUAGUGCUGAUUUUUAUGGAUUUUUUUUUAGUAGUACACCGUCAUGACUUUUGCAAUGCAUGAUAAUAAUACCACACCGUUUCUAGCUACCAAACGGCUCCAAAGAAUAGGUCACAUUGUCAUCGCCGGAAAUAUUCUCCAACCGAGAUGCUCUAACCAGUAACAAGUAAUCAAGAACCACCUGCUACCAAGGCUACCAGCGGGCUCGUAGCAUCUAGUACUCCCUUAGAGGGGAUAUUAAAGAUAAUAUAAAAGAGCUGAAAGAGUUACUCCCUCUGUCCAAAAAAAAAAAGUUAAAUCUAAAACUAGAUGUGACACAUUAUAAUACAACGAAUCUGUACAGAGGUAUGUCUAGAUUCAUAGUACUAGGAUGUGAGGAUGUGUCACAUCCAGUACUAGAUUGGUUUUUUAUGGGACGGAGGGAGUACAUAUUAAAUUUAUGUUUAGAUGGAGGAGAGAGAGGACAGAAGAAAGAAGAAUGUGCUACAAAUUUAUAAUCAUGCACCGGUAGCACGGGCUAUAAUAAACUAUGUGAGAUAUAGAGAUAGGCCAGUUAUUAGUGGAGUGGUGUGUAUGUGUGAUAGAGAAACGCUCACGGGUCUUCCGGCUAGCUCCACAAUUAAGAUGGUGGGCUAACCGGCCUAGGUUUAAAGUCUCACCCGUUCUAUUUAUUUGAGAUUAUAUUAUGUCAUUCCUUAAUAUUCGUGUUCUUUUUGUGUGUAUGUGUGAUAGGCCAGUUAUUAAUGGAGUGGUGUGUGUGCGCGCACGCGUGCAUACACUACUUUUGAGCAUGCUCUUGCUCUCUCUAACCCAAAAUACGAAGGUUUUUAAAUUUUUGCACGGCGAUUAAGAAAUAUGUGUUAAAUAUAGAAAAUUUUUGAUUGGUUGAGAUAAAAAAAUAAGUGAAAAGGAGAGAUGGUUGUGGUUGAUUGAGAUGAUAGAGUAGGGUCUUAAGAAAAGAGAUGAUAGAGUAGGUGGAGUACUAUAUUAUAGGAUAAUUUCGAAUGCUACUCCCUACAUUCUAAAAUAUAGUUAUCGAUAGUGUCCCAAUUAUGUCUUGAACUAUAGUUAUUUCUCCAUAUACCUUCUUAUCUAAACUAAUCACAAUAUCUCCCAUGUUUAAUCCUCCGUCUAUUCUCUUUUCUCAUUCACAACAAUCUUCUAUUUAAUUAUAGCUAUUUUCGUAGUACAUCUGUCUAACUCUAAAAAUGAUUAUAUUUUAAAUAUAAUAGAGUACAAGUUAAUAUAUUAAUAUAUUUUGAGAUUGAGAUAGUACUUUAACUCGAAUCAGUGGUUUAGAUUUAGCAAUGUUGAAAUAAUCAGCAAUGCUGAAAUAUUCGAAGAGCUAAACGUCAGGUGAGGCUAGUCAAAACGAUAUAUGAUUUGAUUAGUGUUUAUAUAUAUAUCAUCAAGCAUGAUCCAUCACAUGCAUUGCGUACUUACUCCCCUUAACUAUACUUUUUUCUGCAGGGUACUCCUCUUAACUAUAUGAUACACAUUCUACCGGACUCUGAAGUCGUCAGAGAAGAAUAAUCAAGCCUCACCUUCCAAGUAAUACACAUGCUCAGUUAAGAUAUCAGAUCGGUGUCUGACUAUCUUGAGACCCCCAAGCAAAUCAUUUGACAAACCGGCCAAUCGGUCAGUCGACGAUCGGCAGUGCAUGUUACUCCCCGGAUCUUACAAUAUUAAUUGCACAUGUCCACGUCGACCGCGGAUGCAAUCAACCAAAUUUGUCAAAAAUAUAUAUUGCUCCAUCGGUUGAUCGACCGAAUAGUAAAUCACGUCCUGUCGUCGAUUAUUUAUCUAUUGAUUCUGUUUCGUCGCCAAACAACUCCAUCGACUUUGAUUAAUUAGUGUACACUAUACUCCUUGAUUCUCCAUUAAUUAGUGUUUGUUAGGCUAAUAUAUGCUGCAGUUUCUUAGAAAAUCACGAGCUAGAGGUAGCAGGUUUCUGAUCAGAAGCAGGCAAGAAACUAUUGACCAUAUGCAGACUUACAGAGCUUCUCUGCUGCAGUUCAAGUGGUUUUAUGCCAAAUUACAUGAUAAUUUCGUAGCUCACGUGCACUUUAAAUCGACCUGCUGAUUAAGAUAUUAGUAAGCAUGGUGUCACUGUUCAAUUUAAUCAUACAGGGGGAAUUUGAUGUAGAGAUUAAUUAAGCACUUAGUUGUUCAUAAUAUGCAUGGAACAUGCAUUGCAGCAGAAAUAUUCGAGGGCAUCUAUCAUCGAUUAGAAAAUUUCUUUAGUCGAUGGUCUGACCGAAUCUCACUAAUACGGGCUGACGGUUGAUGCAUUAUUGAGGAUCAUAAAUUCGUACAAAUAAUGGACGAUUAUCUGCAUAAACUAGUUUGAAAGAAAGGCAUUUUUGGUGGCAUCUAACUGAACGACGGGUUGGCUGAGAUUCUAACUGGACAGAGACGCGUGAAACUAAAGCUUUCAGUUUCACGUAGAAGACGCCAUUGAUUUUAACUGACAAACACGCAUCAAAUUUGCGAAAUUCUGAUUCGCUAUGUAGUCAUUUCGUAGUCGUAACAUAGAUUCAAACGCAGGAAAGUUGAGCACUUUAAGCAUCCUGACCAACUACACUGAUGGAGCAGUACAAUUUCAGUACUAAGUAGGACCGAUCAGUAAAGAAGAUUCAGCAUGGAACUGAGACCAAACUUCACCAAACCGUCCGGAGAAUGUUCUUGACGAUGAAACUUCCGGAAAACAGAGAGAAACGAAAAGAGGGCGAUAAAAAUGCGCAUGGCAACAAAAUUAUUUUGGAGCAAUGCGUUUCACGUCAGCAUGCAGGUGAUGGACCAGUGAACGACUUAAGGGCUUAAGGCUGCACAUGAAUUGCUCCAUGGAAGACUUUGAGGCAUGCUGCAUGCAUGCACUUGAUCGAUCGAUUGGCUCUCCAUGCCUCCAUGCACGUCUGAAGUCUGAACGCUGCCCACGAAAUGAACACAGUUUGUGCCAUAUCAAAAUGCAGUUGCAUCAGCUGCAAAUUAAGCUUGCACCCAUACUAGCUAACAACCAGUAUGGUCGAUCUGAACCCAUAAUAACAUUAUCCCCAGCAAGAUAGACAUAAACGUACACACAUGCAGGCAUGCUCGCCGCAACUGCAUACACACGGCCGGCAUCGACGCCCCAACCACCCGAUUAGUAGCGACACGACGACCCACCUCUGUCGCCAUCACGAAAUCGCAUUCGGUCGAUCGACCGCUCGCGAGUCGCAAACCGACGAAACCUGAUCAUCAAACCGAUCGAUCGCCCGACGAUGAGGACGUUCUCGAGGCGUUAUUCGACCAAACAGGCCGGAGCAGCGCAGCGCAGCGAGCGAGCGCGGGGCCAAGAAAAAAACAAAACGGAGAUAUGGCAGCCACCGCGCAAACAGGCAAGGCGGCACGGCCACGCGCGAGCCAUCAAUGCGUGUGCCCAUGUUGGUGGAGACAGUGCACGAGGCAAGUGCGCGGCACGGCAGAUGCGCACCGCACGCAUCGCUGGACUGACGCGCGCGCGCGGCGGGACGGCGCGCGGGGCCAUGGCCUGUCGAGCUCGGCGGUUCGGCGCGGUGGUCACCACCACGCUCCCCUCGGCGGCGCGGUGGCGAGCGAUUUGUAUCGGUUGGUGAGCGCGCGCGCGGGCCGCGGGGGCGUCAAGCUCGGUCGCGGCGUUGGGUUACAGCGGCUGGACACGGCCGUGGCGGUGUGACCGGAUUGGUCCCGAACAGCGAGCAAACGUGCUACCUGUCACUACAGGAAAAAAAAAAUAAAACUGGCCUGUUCGACGAAAAGUAAGUGGGUUCAUUGCACGUAGGAAUAGUAGUACGUGCUGACAUAGAGUCAGAUCCGAUUUCGUAAAAAGAAACCUGAAUUGAUCGGUACAGAAACCAAGUUGUUUUCCUGAUUCGAUGCAUCAAACUAUAGUUGCAUUUUUCGACUUUUCGGCGGGACAAGUAUCCGUACGUCCAUCUUGCGCAGUAUGGGCAGCAUGAUUGGGUGAAACUUCCGUGCGAAUCACCACGCCGCGGGAUGGUGACGAUAUCGGUUGGAAGAACCAACUACAACUAACCGUAGGUUGGUUGGUAGUCCUGGCGACUCACACUGUCCGCCAACCAGAGCUAGAAAUAAUACUACCUUUUAUUCGCCUUUAACAAAACCUGGUUGCAACAUAGCCGGAAAGCUUAACCCCGGCCCGGCCCCUUCUGUCGUCGUCGUUGCUGCUUCUUAAUUUCGCGUCGGCGACAAUGGCAGGACCGACGGGAUCGUGGAUGACGAUGGUGUAAUAAUCACUAAUAACAAAAUAUCCAAAGCAGCAGAAUUAGACCGUCGCACCGGUAUAUCCGUGUGAAAACACACGGGUACGCACGUAAUUUUCACAUUCUCCUGGAAACGUGGCGAUUUACAGUAUAUAUGUACGGCGUUUCUCAUGUGGCCAAAUUAGCGUGAUACGAUCGGUCGCCAUGUAUUUCUUGCGCCAUUGCUACGUACUUUACUCGUAUGUAUGUACGUUUGUCCAGAUUGUUAACAAGAGAACGAACCGUAUUUAAACCACGUCGUCGUCGCCUUCCAUAAUGGAAGAGAUCAAAGAUGGCCACUGAUUCAAAAAAGGGAAAAAAAAAACAAGAAAAGGACGAGGAGGAGAGGCAGAGACGGGCACGACGACGCAGUGUGCGUGUGUGAACGUCGCCGCAAAACAGCCCUGUCACGCAACUUGUACUACGAUCACAAUAGCUCAGAUUGGUUUACUUCGUCGAUCGAGGCACAAAACAAAAAGAAGCAAUUAAUUUAACUCAACGGGAGGAGGGAGACAACGUAGCGACGUCAGUGGCGACACCGACGGAUAGUCGGAUACGAUAAAACAAGGUGCUAGCUAGAGCAAGCUGGGGUAAUUAAUUAAGCGCGGGAAUUAAAUUGAUGGAGAAGAAGAUGGACUUGGCCAUCGACGGGAUUUUCGGCUAAAACUUAUAGCGAUGGAUGUGUACACUAGGGACGCGCAGGUGACUGGCCGGAGAGGGAGGAGGAGAUAGGCCAAUCCAUCCAUGGGUUCAGAUGAAAACGAGAGAAGCGACUGCGAAGCGCGGGAGCGGGCGCGGCCACUCAGCCGUAGCCCGUAGGUACGCGCUUUGUCCGCUUCAUCUCCACCUCUCGGGCUCUCGAUCGGCAACACGGACGCCGUUUCCCCGGCCUACUUGCGUGGACGCAGUCCAUGGACAGGGCACUCCACUUUCUACUUGAGUAGGAAGUACUUCCUUUAUUUCGGCCUAGCCUUUUGGAAAUUAUCAUACAGAUAUACACAUAGUGUACAUAUGUGUUCACAGUAGGUGAGGGUACACGUGGACAUAUACGUUUGUACCGUGCUAUUUGAUCAAGUUUAUAGAAAAAAAUAGCAACAUCUACAACAUCAAAUUAGUUUCACUAAAUUUAACAUUAAUAUAUUUUGAUAAUAUGUUUAUUUUGUAUUGAAAAUACUAGCAUAUUAUUCUAUCAAUUUGAUUAAAUUUAAAAAAAUUUAGUUAAGGAAAAAAAUCAAAUGACUUGUAAUAUAAAAUGGAAUAUAAAAUGGAAGGAGUAGGAAGUAGUAGUAGGAAGGGUGCAUGUUCCAGUAGGGUUUCUUUAGUUUAAGAAAAGGUUACUUUAUUAGCAGCCAAUUCACAACCGGGUAUGGUUAUUGACUAUUCUUUGAAGUAAGUUUGCUGGCCAUUUUAUAAAAGCGGUUAGGAACGGGAGAGUAUUAAUUAAGGGUAUGUACAAUUGGUGUAUCAGCCGUAUGUAAGUAGUAAAAUUUUAUCCAAGUUGAAUUUUCACUUACAUGAAAAAUGAGAGAUUGAGGAGAGAGAUAGUUGUAGUAUGUUUAUUUGUUGUCGACCAUGCUUAACAGAGAGCACUACGAUUUUCUUGAUGUGACUAAGUAUAUAUGCAGUCUCAUAUCCUUACAUUUACUAUGGGUGGAUCUGCUAAUCUGAUGUGUUGAGCAUGCAGUAAAAAAUACUGUGAAACGUAGCGUUAGAAUAAUAGACACCUCGUUGCAUAUAUCUUGUUUUGUCAUAAGUGGUCAUUUAAUUUAUUCUUUUUUAACAUACAGAGUUAAAUAUACUUCUGUUUUUUUUUCAAAAAGAAAUAUUUCUCCUAAAAAAAUUCGUUGUCACUUCAACGUUAUAUUUCUAUUGUUUCAAGUUCAAAUAUAUUUUCCUUUCUACAAUAUGAAAUAACAUAGACAUAUACACGAUCAACAAACGGAUUCUCAAUAACAUACUCCCUCCGUCCUAUUAUACAAGGGAUAAUGGGUGUAUGUAACACAUUCUAGUACAAUGAGUCUGAACAAACCGUCUGUCUAGAUUUAUUGUACUAGAAUAUGUUACAUCCAUCCAUUAUCUCUUAUAUUAUGGGAUGUAGGGAGUAGAAACGUAGAAUAAAGAACAUUGUUGCCACGUUGAUAUCUUCUGGAUAUGAAAUUGUUUUCCAUGGAACAGUCUAUCUUGAUAGCUAAAUCUGACGAAUUUAAUCCAAAGAACCUAUUUAUUGUUCUCUGGGUGGUCUUAUCCUUCACAUUGUGGUCCAGUACAUGUGGAAGCAAGGAUUCAUCUAGUGCUUACUUUAAAACUUUAGCCUCCAAAGUUGAAAACUAUGGUAAAAAUUCAUUACUUGCAAGUUACUGAUAGUACUUUACUCUUUGUACAUAUACUCUUUUCAGUACAGCUGAUGCAACCGGGGUGCAAAUUUCUUGUGGAAGUUUCUAAUGAACGGUACUCCCUUUUAUUAAAAGGAAAAGGAUAAGAGGAGGGUCUUAAUCAAUCAUCUAACAAAAGUUGAUGACAUUUGAUUUAGUGAUUACAAUAGCUAAGUUAAAUGUGCUAUAAUAAAAAAAUAAAAGAAAGAAAAGGAGUACUCCUUCAUUUGGUGUACCCAAAAUGAAAGGGAUUACAAAUGACCAAUGUCUUAGAGAUAUAUUAGCUUGAAAACAAAUCUGAAUAUUCUUUUAUUUGGACACAUGCAUACCCGCUGAUCAGGCUACACGCUUUAUCACUAAACCCAUUCACACGUGUAUAUAGUAUUACAUCUAUCCACAAAUAUAAUCGAUUCUAGAUAUGCACAGGAGAAGUACAUAGCAAUGAUGUCUGAAAUGUACGUGUAGGUACUUCCUACUUUCCAUAAAAAAAUAAAUUCUGACUACGAAUAUGAAGAACCAUAUGUAUUAGGGUGUAUUUAGUUCACGCUAAAAUUAAAAGUUUGGUUAAUUAAAAUGAUGUGAUGGAAAAGUUGGAAGUUUGUGUGUGUAGAAAAGUUUUGAUGUGAUAGAAAAGUUGGAAGUUUAAAAAAAAAAUCUUUAGAACUAAACUCGGCCUAAAUUUAUACGCAGGAUUUGAUCUGUUUUAGGAUAGGGAGUCUCCUCAUGACAUGUUUCAUGAGAAGGACCACUUAAUUCUGAAUAUUCUCUUGGACAACGGACAUAAGGUGAAAUACACCACUUAAUUUGCAUUCAUGCUAAUAAAUUACAUCUAUGGUUAACCACAAGACCUAUAACAUCAAAUACCUAGAGUUGCAAAGAAAUCAUCAUCUUUUUUUAGCUUUAAUAAAGACAUACACUAAAGUGGUCAAGAAAAAUAGUAGGAAACCAAUCAGUCCCAGAAGAAUUUUACACAUUCUUCCUUCUUUACUUAUCUGCACAAGACGCACAAGAAAGACCAGGUUAUCUCUAUGUUAGGCUCUUUUUAGUUGCAGGGGUGAAAAGUUUUAGCGUGUCAUAUCGGAUAUAUGGACACACAUUUGAAGUAUAAAACGUAGACUAAUAAUAAAACAAAUUACAUAUUCCGCGUAUAAACUGCGAGACAAAUUUAUUAAGCCUAAUUAAUCCAUCAUUAUCAAAUGUUUAAUGUAGCAACACAUUGUCAAAUCAUGAAGAAAUGAGGCUUAAAAGAUUCGUCUAGCAAUUUACACGCAAUAUGUGUAAUUAACUUUUUUUGUCUAUAUUUAAUACUCUAUAUAUGUAUCCAAACAUUCGAUGUGAUAUGAUAAAAAGUUUAUGUGUGGGAACUAAACAGGGUCUUCUUAGAGUAGAUGUUAUCCCGGUUUUUUAUAAGGAAAAAGAGAAACAGGUACUCUAGGACCAGGCCAUGAUGAGGCCAAGCGGAAUCUGGCUCCUCGAACUUAAGCUGAGCCACAGAAGAUCAGUACGCUGCGUCCACCAACCUUGCACCAGUUGGGCUCGUCCAUGCUCCAUACCCCAUGUUACCCCAUCGCUCAUUCGGCCGCGACAGCGACAGCGUUCCAUUGACCUGACGCGCUUCCCGCUACUAAUACCCGCGAGCUCCACCUCCAUGGCCGCAAAGCACCAUCCUCUCGCAUCACCAAUUCUAACCCUAACGACAACCCUACUCUCUCUCUCCAACAAUCAAAGAUUCGAUGGCCGUGCUGGUGGCGAGGCAGGGGCGGGAGCUGCAGCGGUACACGAGCGCCGGGGGCCGCAUCGUGGUGGGUUGCAUCCCGUACCGGGUGCGCAGCGGCGGCGAGAUGGAGGUGCUGGUGAUCACGUCGCAGAAGGGGCACGGCAUGAUGUUCCCCAAGGGCGGGUGGGAGCUCGACGAGUCCAUGGACGAGGCCGCCCGCCGCGAGGCGCUCGAGGAGGCCGGCGUCCGCGGCGACACCGAGACGUCCCUCGGCUGCUGGUACUACAAGAGCCGCCGCUACGACACCACCUACGAGGGCUUCAUGUUCCCUCUCCGCGUCACCGACGAGCUCCUCCAGUGGCCCGAGAUGUCCUCCCGCAAGCGCACCUGGGUGAGUAGUAGUAGUACAUGACCCCCCCAUCGCACUUUGAUACACGGAAAUUCGCCAUUCUACGGCGAGAACGAUCGAAUUCGAUCGACCAAAGAACGAACACGGGCGUCUAAAUGCCGAUUCGAUUUUGUGCAGGCCACGGUGCAGCAGGCGAUGGAUGGAUGCCAGCACGGUUGGAUGCGUGAGGCGCUCGAGCGGCUCGUCUCCCGGCACGCCACCAACAAGCUGCAGUCUGCGCUGUAAACCCAACCAAAAUCAAAGCGAGCUGAGUCGCGCGAGAAGGGAAACGGGCGGGCUACGAGCACAGCACGGGCGGCGGCGCGAAGUCGCCGGCGUCGUGUUCGCUCUCCCGGUGAAGCGGCAGGCCGGCCGGGCUCGAUCACAUCUCGAUCGAGCACCAUAUAUUUUGGCCGCCCUCACCGGAGAGCGAGACGACGGCGGACGAAUGCCCCGCGCGGAGAUCGGAGCACGCCGACGACGACGACUCUUCAUUUGGGGUUGCAGGGGUCGUCGUCGUGUAUACGUACGUCGCGGCGAAAUAACGGCGCGAGAAUUUUAGAAAGUUUGAAGAUUCGGCAUCUUGUAAAAAAAGAUCGAAGCUGGAACAAGCCAAUUAAUUUAAAACACCACAUUGCGAAAGCAAUUCGAGAUUCUUCCUUUGAAGCAACAAAAAGUGUCAAAAUGAACCGCAGUAAUUACCAGUGCCAUUUCGUGUCGGUACAAUUAAUGAGCUGAUUGAUGGUAAUUGAAGUGUUCAGCAAAAAGAAAAUCAAGCAAUUACUCACCCUACUGACACCAGACAGCUCAUAAACCUGCUGGUAAGCUCAUCGACAGCUACAUGUGGACACGCUCUUCCUUAUCUCAGCGUGUGUACCGCGAUUAUCUUGGUUCUUACCCGUGGCUGGAAAUUAAAUGAGAUUCCUUCGCUUUGCAGAAGAAGUAUCCCUCUCUACUACAUUGCUCGAUUGAAACAAGUGUGCAAGAUCACGACACGUAGUGGACCGAACUCUCACUCUCAAUCUCACAUCUUGAUACACAAACUUUAAACGCAUCGUUUUCAAAUUAAACAGCAUUUUCAGAGGGGAAAGAGAGAUGACACCGCACACUUCUCCCUUUCUGGAGCAGUAAUAACCAAUUAAUUACUACGGGGAGGAUCUCAUCUGGAACAACCGGGCCCUGCCAAAAAACCGAAAUUUCCCUCGACGGCGACUGCAUCUGGGCCCCACGGGCCGCGCCCUAUGGGCUGUCACUAGGCUCCCCCGAUUUUUCAAAAGCGUGGCCUGCAGAUAAGAACGGAUGGGGCCAUGUGCACCCCUGUAUUUUCUCUGCUCCAAUGAGUAAAAAAAAAAAAAACAAGAAGAAAAGCCAACCGGUGCCUUGCUGCCUCGCCGCACUGCCGAUCGACGGCGACAUGCCCGACGGCGACCCCGAUCGGCUCGGAUUAAUGCGUAGACUGACUUGACUUAGGGAGGGCAAUAAGAUUUGUCUGGGGCCGUAAAAUUAUUGGGGCUGGUCGGCACGGUGACGGGGCAAUAAUAAUAAUAAUCAUAAUCAUAAUCAUAAUACAGUGCUUAGAAAGAGAUGAGACGAGAUGAUUAAUCAAUCUGGGCACCUUGUGUUGCUCUGGUCCACGUAUGCAACGCGACCUCGCUGUCAAGGCGUUAGGUGCUGCGAGAUAAACUAGUGACAAGUCCCGGCUCUCGCUUACGCGAGCCAAGUAGGACUAGUAGAUGAUAAAAACAACUUGGCGCCCUCUGUUUUGUUUGGACCCCUCCACACCGGGCGUGAAAGUUUAACUAAUCGUGUUAAUUAAUCUGUCGUUUCGGGCUUGUAACCAUCGGUGGAAAUUUUGGUGCCGGUGAUUCGGUGUGUGCUUUAUUUCCUUCCUCGCGGUGGAAGUGGAAUCCGCUUUUUACCGUGUAGAGACGUAAGUAUGUGAGAGGGAGACGACGAUAAACUUGCGUCACCGACGCUGUGACAUGUCAACGAAGACAAAACCACUAGACAAAGAUUUUAUUUUUUGGUGCUUCUUUUUUUCUUUUCUCUUUUUGAUGAAGGAGGCGUUAAUGCUGGUAACUCUCACUUCCGCCUGGUUUCUUAACUGUUCGUGAGCUGCGUGUGCCAUGUUUGCAUGGAACGACGCUCGCCGUAUAGUAGUUGCAGUUCACGCCGCAGAAACACACUAAUUUUGACAAAUUGACUUUUUUAGAAAACUUAUUUCAAGAAUAAGCCGUGUCAAAAACUUAUUGCAAAAAUAGGCCGGCGGCUCAGCGUUAUAAAUAUUAGCGCUGAGGUAUAACGCUUUAGCGCCAUAUAUAUUAGCGCUAACAUUUCAUCCGAGGUAAAAUUACCAGCUCAAUAGGGGUUAGCGCCAUAGCUUUUGGGGCUGACCUAUUAGCAGUAUUAAAAACUCUCUGGAACAUUCUGUUAUGCGUGCGCGAUGCUAGUGGGAUGGUCAUGUGCUUUUGCUCCCAGUGCACAGACCACAGUUCGAACCCAGGCAUGCACAUCUUUAGAAUUAUUUUUUUUAUCAAUUUAUAUUUUCUUUGCAAACUACACAUUUUGCUUGCAUUCAAUGCUAUAUACUAGUACUUUUUUUUAUCAAUUGUAAGUAUGAAAUGCUAUAUACUACAUGUUCUCAUAUUUUUAUUAUGGUUCUUUUGACUCAUAACUAUAAAAAUAAAUACUAUGUAAUUUAUGUUAACACUUACCUCCUAAUUUUUUAUUUUAAAAUUACAUUUCUUACAUUUAUGUGUAAUGAUCUUGUUUUAAACAUAAAACAUAUGAAAUGUUAAAUGCUGCGUACUUUCAAAAUUUUAUGAAUAUAAGUAUUAAUGCUAUAAAAUUUAUGUUCUCAAAUUUAGUUGUUCCUAAUUUAUAAGACUAAUAAAAAAUAUGCUAUAAAAAUAAAAAAAACAUCCAAAGGAUGUAAAACAUAGGGAUUGAACCGUGGUUAAUGAGAUGAGAGGCAAAGUCUCCUGCCACCACACUACACGAGAACAUGCAAACCAAAAAGUCCAGAAGAUCAUUUUCAACGUCAAUAGCUCAGCGCCGUAAGCUAUGCCACUAACCCCAGUGACUUGGCAAAUUUUUUUACCAUCUCAGAUGAAAUGUCAGCGCUAAUAUACAUGGCGCUAAGGCAUUAUACCUCAGCGCCAAUAAGUUUGGCGCUGAGACGACGGCCUAUUUUUGCAAUAAGUUUUUGGUAUGGUUUAUUUUUAAAAUAAGUUUUCUCAGAGGGUCAAUUUGUCAAAAUUACGGGCAGAAACAGCGAAGAAUCGUCUCCGGUCCGGCCGAGCGAACGGACGGGCUCGUUCAAGCGGGGGCAGCUCGACCGGACCGGGGGGGCCAAGUGGCAACUUGACACGAUCAAGUCACGGAGUCGCAGCGUACGACGGGCGGGUUGGCGGCCCGAGCCCGACGGCGGCGCGGUUGGUGCAGUGAGCAAGUGUGCAGCAGGCGCGAGCACGAGGGAGGCACGCCGGCUGGACCGAGACCGACCUGGCGUCGAGUUGGUCCGUGAACCAUUAGCGCUUGUUGGGCUGGCGGCUGUGGAGUUGGCCUGCACUGGAUCCUUCUGUUUCUACAGAUGGGCUUCAUGGGUAGGAAUUUGCUCUGUUUGGGCUAAGUUUAGCCCGUAAAGGAAUUGGUCUAUUUUCCGUCUCAACUCUUAGACCUGGUUGAAUCGACUUCCUCAACCAUACAUCUCUUGAAAACCGGUGUAAAUAGACUCCUUAUGGUUUCAGGAUCAGUUCUAUCUUACGUGGCGCUCGUGAUACCCACAUAUCAGUAAAAAAAAAUUUACUGCCCCACAUAUUAUCCUAAUCUCCUUUUCUAUUUCCUCACCUCACCCCUCUCUCUGCCGUUCUCUCUCUCCAGGCGGCAGCAAAGGCUAGCAUCACCGGGGGUGGUGGCGAUGCACGGGGAAAAAAAGGAGUCAGGAGAUGGAAGAGGAAGAUGCGAUGCAAAGAUGCCGACGGCUUCCAGGGAGAAGGACGCGAAGCCAUGCGAGUGUGACGAAGUGCAGGGCAGGGACUGAUGGACGAGAUGACGCGGUUGCCGUCGUGACGUCCCUCUCUGCUGCUGGGCUUGUCUAUAUGGCAUCAUCGCCAAGAGCCGUUGAAGGCGGUGGCAAGAUGGGUGGUGCGCAGGGGAGAAGCUUGUCGGCCGGCUAUAGGGUGUGGGCCCCAAGGACUUGGCAUGUCGCUGCCGCCAACUGGAGAGAGAGAACGGAAAGAGAUAGGGGAGUAGAGAUGAAAAAGAAAAAGGCAAUAAGGAUGAUUGACAUGUGUGAUUAUUUUUUUAAUUUUUAUUGACAUGUGGGUCCUACAAGCACCACAAUAAAACCGCUUUUGAAACCACGAAUGAGUCGAUUUACAGUGGUUUUAAAGAUGGGAGAAACGUUAUGCCUGGUUUUUAGGUUAAGGGAAGCGAUUUAAACAGAGGCAAGAGACAUUAUUACAAGGGUGGGGCUCGGCCUUUGAACCAUACGUGGGACAAGUUUCUGCCUCAUACAAAUGAGAGACAAAAUAGACUUUUUUUUCCUGCAAAAUACUACUAGUAGUAAAUUAGGUUGGGCUCACUAAACUAGAAAUGACAAAGAAGCAAGUUAGCGGAUUAUCUUUAUUUUACAACGGUAUAAAAGAAGAAGAGCCGUCCUACUUUUAUUCUCUCCUCCCACCACAUGCUCGCAUCUCAUAUAUAAACUUGUGAAACUUACUCUAACCAUAUAGAACCAUUGCAAUACACGGGCAUAUAUUACUAGUUACACCUAAUUUUGUGGAGUUUCAUACCCAAUUGAGAUAAGGAAUAAUUAGAUUUAAUGCAUAUUUUUCUAUAAAUUAGUUUUGAUAUAUAUCUUUUAGUUUCUAAUUUCAUAUAGUUUAUCUUUUAAAUACAAAACAUAUUUUAAAAUAGAAAUAUAUUUCAUACACGAUUAUACACAAAGCAAUCAAUGUAAAUACUAGACGCCAAAAUUAAAGAUAGAUAUAUACUAGCUAAGUAGAUGUAUAGAUAGAUAGACUCAUAGAUAGGCUGUUGGAGACGGAAUUGGCUAAUUAUAGGUUGUAUUUGGGCGAGUUUAUUUGGCCCGCAAACGAAUCGACCAAAGCUUUGCAUAGGAAAUUUUUGCCGAUCGUCGGAGAGUACAAACGAGGCGCGCGCACGCAGCACCAGAGGCGAGUGACCCAACAACAAAUGGAGGUUCGUCGACGAUGGUCGUCUCCGGCGACGGCUGCGGCCAUGGCUCUCGUCCUGUUCGCCUCGUCGUCCUCCUGUAAACGCCCUGUAACACACAAUAUCCUCUGUGGCACGCGCGCGUGCGUGCGCGUCUGAUUUGUUGGUCUCGUGUCUCGUUAAUUUGCUUACUCGAUCGCUACGUUUUCCAUUACGAAUUUGCGAUCGAUCCGAGGAAAGGGAGCCCGGCGGCGGCGGCGGCGGUUGGCGCUGCGACGGAACUGCAGAAGCACGUGGCGUUCUUCGACAGCAACCACGACGGCAUCAUCUCCUUCUCCGAGACGUACGAAGGUGGGUGGCCAUGCCUGUCCUAUCCUCCGUUUUCUGCUUGCUAAAUGUCAAACGCAGCCUUAUAUCUCCCUUAAAUUGUUACAGCAUAAUUUCUUUUAAUAUGUUGUUUCAAUUCAAGGGAGAUCUAAGACUGCAUUUUGAUAUUUUUUUUAAUGGUGCCUGCAGGGUUCCGUGCGCUCGGAUUUGGAGUUGUUACCUCCAGAUUCAGCGCGACCGUAAUCAAUGGCGCCCUCGGUACCAAGACCAGACCUGUAUGAUCUGUCACAUCUUUAUAUAUGUUUCGUUUGGCGCAUAAUUCCCCUGGUUAUGCGUGAUAUAAAGAAAAAAACUGACAGUUUGUGCUUUUUCCAAAUUUCCAAAUGCACGCAGGAAAAUGCAACAGCAUCACGGUUUUCUAUCUAUAUAGAGAACAUCCACAAAGGGGUCCAUGGAAGUGAUACUGGCGCAUUCGAUUCAGAAGGAAGGUAGUCAUUUCGUAGACUCUCCAAACAGUAAUGAUACAAGCGAGUUCAGCAAAUUGCCUUGGAUUGUCUGAACUGUUUGCAACAUAGAUUAUUCUUUUACGUUCUUCCACACAUAUAAUUCACAAUCAUCUUUUUGAUAUGCUAGUAGUAUAUUCAACUCUGCUGCAGGUUUGUCAAUGAAAAGUUCGAUGAGAUAUUUACCAAGCAUGCAAAAACUGUACCCGAUGGCCUGACAGCAGCCGAACUGGACGAGAUGCUUCGUGCAAACAGAGAACCCAAGGACUACAAAGGAUGGUAAUCUCUUGCUAGCUGAUAGCUUCAGAAACCAUAUGCAUGUAUAUCUGUUCAAAUGGUCUGCUCACUGUAUUCGCUUGCACUACUUUUGUACCACGAGAAAAUGCAGGGUCGGAGCAUCGACGGAGUGGGAGACGACGUUCAAGCUCGGGAAGGACAAGGAUGGUUUCCUUCGCAAGGACACUGUCAGAACUGUCUACGAUGGGAGCUUCUUCAGUAAAGUGGCGUCGAAGAAGAAGGGUCCCUCUGCAAACCAAGCAUGAUUGGGAUUUUGGAAGGAAAAAUGUACUAAAUUGAUAGAACAUGUCAAGGCAUCCCUAAAAUGAAUGGUCCAUAUAUAUUUACCCAGGAAAUGUUCCAAAGUGGCUUGCAUUUGCGUAAGGGCAGAAACGUUGAAACCGUUCGCCAAAUGGCGGAAAAGCAGUGGCAUAUAAGAACAACGUUUCAGUAACGGUGAUGGCCUUUUCUGGCUUCCUCACACGAACAGUCUGGGCUUUGGAUUAAGCCGUUUGUUGUUUCUCCCUGACUGGGAGAUCAAGCACUAGUAUAAUGAUUUCAAUCCACAAACGGCCUCUCGAUUCAAUCCACCUAUUAAUGUUUGGUGUUCUUUUUUUCUGAAGAUGAAGAAGAACGCCGUGUUUAGUUCCAAAGUUAUUUUUCAAACUUUCAACUUUUUCAUCACAUCAAAACUUUCCGACACACACAAACUUUUAACUUUUCCAUCACAUCGUUUCAAUUUCAACCAAACUUUCAAUUUUGGUGUGAACUAAACACAGCCGAAGAUGAAGAUUAAGUUUUUUACGUAAAACGAGAUGGCAUUAACGUAUGAUUGAUUGAGUUUUAAUUAUUACAAAUUUAAAAAAUAGAUUAAUACGAUAUUUUAGUGCAACUUUCAUAUAGAAAGUUUUCGUACGAAACACAUCAUUUAGCAGUUUGAAAAGCGUGCCACGAGUAUCCAAAAUUUCAUCCCCUCUGCAUAGUGGAAAGAUGUAGUUUUUACGAUGCUCCUUAUGAGUAGUUUUUACGAUGAGAAAUGGAUGAAAAUUUAGAUACUUGUGUCAUGCUUUUCAAACCACUAAACAUCGCGUUUCGUGCAAAAACUUUCUAUAUGAAAGUUGUUCUAAAAUAUCAGAUAAAUCUAUUUUUUAAGUUUGUAAUAAUUAAAACUCAAUUAAUCAUACGUUAAUACCACCUCACUUUGCGUAAACCACUUAAUCUUCAUCUACGGGAGAAAAGAAUACCACAUAAGUAAUACUACCAUAUUAAUUAAUUAAAUAGUGAUAAUAGAAUGACUUUUUUUUACUGAUUGUAGGGCUCAUAAAUCGAUGAAUCAAUGGUUAACUAUAAUAUACACUACCAUAUAUAAUUAACUAUCGAUAAUAGAAUGAUCUUUUUUUACUGAUAGUAGGACUCAUAAAUCAAUGAAUCAAUUAGUAGUUAAGAUUGCUGCUACGUGGUCAGUGGAGAGCACUGCUUUAGUGGGAAAUAUUUCUUAUUUCUCACACGCAAAUAGGGGUGAAAACGGGGCGGGUAUUUCCCGUCCGCCGCCCGCCCGUAUUAAUCUGGGAUAAAUUCGGGUCAAAAAUUCGGGUACCCGAGUACUUUCACGGAUAUCGGAUUCAAAUACGAAUUUUUUCUAGCGGAUACGAGAUCGGGUUCGGGAGGACAGUAUCUGUAUCCGGUAAAUUAUGCGGGUAUUACCCAGUUAACUACCCGUAUAUGACCCGAACUGCUACAACCACCAGGGAGACGAGCAGGCAUCAGCCUGAGGGCGCCGCAUGCCGCACGCGAGCAACCAACCACUGGCACUGAGGCACAGGCGCACAGCCGGCGCCGCCGCCGGCGUCGUGCAUGCUAGCCGCUAGGCGCUGUGCUAGCUGCUAGUGGCUACGCUGCUGCGCGCCCGCGCCCGCUGGCCGCUGGCCGCUGUUGACCGCCGCCGACCACCGUCGCAAGGCCCCGCCUACCACCGCCGAGGCGCCGACCAUCUCUUCCGGUAGUCACCUCUCAGCAGGUCAUCCAGGUGAGCAAAAGUUCAGUGUUUUAUUGCUUUAUCAACAUCACCUUACGACUUGAAGUUCAGUGUUUUAUUUUACUUUUACUGUUUGGCUGUAGGAUUAGGAUAGAAUGGCUAGUGGUAAUGCAAACACUAGUAUCUGUGUCAAGGACAAAGUUACAAGUGUGGAGGAGCAACAACGUAAAGCAAAAUGCUGAACCGUGAACUAUGGUCUACACCAUUGAGUAUUUGAGUCUGUACGCCUACUUUGGAUCUGUUGUGCUGAUAGGUAUUACCAUUCCCUAAGUCUCUAAUAUAUAUUCAUAUUAUACGUAUAUGGAAUGAUUGAACGACUAUUGCCUAUGUGGUAUAUAUGGUUAUUGCUUUGAUUUGAUAUCCGAAUAAGGAUUCGUAACCGAUAGUGUUCGUAUCUGACUUGGUACGUAUUCGUUCCGUAUUUAAUCCCGACAUUAUCCGUGCUUGUAUUCGUAUCCGAUAAUAUCCGUGCCCGACCCGAUCCCUAUUUUAAAAUGUGGGUUAGGAUACGGAAAGGAUGAGAUCCGACCGAACCCGACCCGUUUUCACCCCUACACGCAAAUAGUAACAUAACUGCUAAAAAAACUUGCGAUAGAUUUUCUACCAUAAAAUUUUCGAAUUUGUAGCUGUCAGAUCGCCUCAUGAUUCGUGCUGGUGGAGGAGGAAAAAAAUUUACAAGUGGAGGAGGAAAAAAAUUUACAAGUGCGCCAGGACCUAGGGAUUAAACUCACAACCUCUCUAAUUUCAUGCAUAUAUUCUAUUUCGUAUGGACAAGGAUUCACAGCUGUAUUUUUUAUUUUUACUAAAAUUUGUAGAAGUUGAAUUUCAACUUACAUAUUUGUGAAGUUAUAUAUCUCAUAGUAAUAUAUCUUGUAUUUUUUUUACUAUCUAGGUGACAUGAAAAAAACAUGAGAAAUACUUUCCCAUUUUGUAUAAAAUAGAUCUUAAAAAUCAGAAUAUAUUUCACAUAUAACUUCGGGUCGACAUAUUUUUCGGCUAAAUAAAGUAACUUUGUCUGCCAUCUAAUCUUCUUCACUAUUCGUGCAAGCUUCAAAGUGCAUCUAGACAAGCCGAUCGAACAACUUGUUCCCAAGGUGGCGAGUCCUUUUUCUCUACAUGACACGUGCUAGUCAGUGAAUGUAACUACAUUAUUUAUACAGUAAUUAUAUAUGUAACUACAAAUUACACUAUAGUUACAUGUGUAAUUAGUUUAUAAUUACACAAUAACUUUUAUAUAUUUUUAUUGUAAAUAUUCGUUGAUAGUUUUUCUAGAUAAAAGUUAAUUUAUGUUGUGUAUUUUAACCAGAUUGCUUUUAUUUUUAAAGUUCACCUUAGCAUAUUAAUGAUUUGUGUUGCCUUUGAUUAUAACCGUAACUUACUAAUGUUAUUUUAAUCAUGCGAACUAAAAUCCGACUGUGUGGAGCUUAGAUUUGUGGCACCAUUAUUAUAGAUGCUGAGUAUUUGACUAUUUGGGUGAGUAUCGCCUGCAAGCGAUAGGUUUGCAUGGAAAAUUUUAGCCGAUCGUAGAAACACGCGAAGCACGUGGCGCCAGAGGGAGAGGAGCACAUAUACAGCCUUCAGCGGGUAAGCGAGGGAUCAAGAAGCAGAGGUGGCUCGGAACAGCCGGAAACGGCAGCGGAGGCUCGACGACGGCGGCUGUCGUCCCUGGCCGGCGACAACGAUAUGGCGGCGGUCGCGGCCGUGCCUCUCCUCCUCCUGUCCGCCGCAUGCUUCUGUACGUAAGGCCCCUGUAAUUAAUACUCCCCCUUUCGCUAAAUUUUGACGCCGUUGAUUUUUUUAAACAUGUUUAACUGUUCGUCUUAUUUUAAAAAAUUUUGUGAAAUAUGUAAAAAUAUAUGUAUAUAUAAAAGUAUAUUUAACCAUGAAUUAAAUGGUAGAAAAAAAUUAAUAAUUAUUUAAAUUUUUUAAAUAAGAUAAAUAGUCAAAUGUGUUUAAAUCAAUGGCGUUAAAUAUUUAGAGAUGAAGGGAGUACUAGUCAUCCUCUGGCACGCGCGUUUCGUUUCCAAUUAUGUUUACGAUCGAGGAAGGGAGCCAGCCGGCGGCGGUGGGCGGCGACGCCCCGGCAACGGAGCUACAGAAGCACGUGGCGUUCUUCGACAGCGACCACGACGGCAUCAUCACCUUUGGCGAGACGUACAGAGGUGGCCACGCCCGCCCUGCCUUGAUUUUCUCUGCUAGAGUAUUCGAUAAUUUCUACUUGGCCUUGUACUCUUCUAUUUUAAAAUAUAUGAUACCGUUAAUUUUUAUAUAAUAUUUAACUAUUUAUCUUAUUUAAAAAAUUAUAUAAAUAUUAUUUAUUUUAUUGUGAUAUGUUUUAUCAUCAAAGAACUAUAAUAUUAACUUACACUUUUACAUAUUUAUACUAAUUUUUUAAUAUAUUUAUACUAGUUCUUUUAAUAAAACGAAUUAUCACACGAUAUGCGAAAAGCCAAUGGUAUCAUAUAUUUUGAAAUGAGGGUAGUAUGCUUUUUCAAUUGAUAAAGGGAUGUGAUUUAGGCUGCAUUUUGGACUUUAUAUGGUGCCAGGGCUCCGCACCCUCGGAUUUGGGAUUUUCGGCGCCACCGUGAGUGCUACCUUCAUCAAUGGCGACAUCGGCCCCAAAACUAGACCUGUAUGAUCUCUCUUAUGCCCUGUGAACGUAUAUAAAAAAAAUAUGUAGUGCAACCUCUACAUAUAUACAUACAUACAUAGAGUAAAUAGUUUAUUCAUGGAGACAGAUAAAUCUUAUACGUCCAUUUUCCUAUCCUACGAUAGUUUUCAGCUUUGCACAAUAUACAUAAAGUUUGCACCACAUAUUUUUUUCUAUAUACACAGCGCAUGACGCCUUUGUAUAAUUUAUAUUAUAUAUAUGUUCUCAUUCAACGCAUAAUUCACCUCAUAUUUAAGAUGACAACCUCAAGAGUUGAACUUUUCCAAAUGCAUGCAGGAAGACGCAGAUGGGUCAUGGUUUUCUAUCUAUGUACAGAACAUUCAUAAAGGGAUCCAUGGAAGUGAUACGGGUGCAUUCGAUUCUGAAGGAAGGUACACCGUGCUCUCCUCAUCCAUUUGGGAACGUGUCUAGAUUAUAAACGAGUACUAGAUGCCACAUGCAUUUUGUGAUUAUUAAACUAGUAAAGGCUUAUCUGGUUUGGAAUUUUUAAGGAUUUAAACUUUUUCAUGUGAGAAUCAUGCAAAAUUCAUGUAUUCCGAGGAAGCCCCACAAAAAAAUACCUAAAUACGGCUAUACUCAACUUGGGUGUGUUUAGUUCAAGCUAAAAUUGAAAAUUUGAUUGAAAUUAGAACGAUGUGACGGAAAAGUUGAAAGUUUAUAUGUGUAGGAAAGUUUUGAUGUGAUAGAAAAGUUAAAAAUUUAAAGAAAAAGUUGAGAACUAAACUAGACUAGGCCUCUGCUAUGCAGGUUUGUUAGUGAAAAAUUCAAUGAGAUAUUCACCAGGCAUGCAAAAACUGUACCCGACGGCCUGACAUCAGACGAGCUGGACGAGAUGCUUCAUGCAUACGCAGAUCAUACAGAGCACAAAGACAGCUCAGGAUGGUAAUCUUUUGCUAGCUUGUUGCUUCAAGAAUCAUAGGGUAUUUUUUUACCCGGCAUCUAUAUCCAACCGGAUAUAUACAACUAUUUUAAUUAGGAACUUAGUCUAUCAAAUAGAAAACUUAGUGCUUCAAGAAUCAUAAAUGGUAUAACUAUAUAUAUUUAUUCACCUGUGGUUGUUGGAGUAAUGGGUGUCUUUAGUUCAUGCCAAAAUUAGAAGUUUGGUUGUAAUUAGAAUGAUGUGACGGAAAAGUUGAAAGUUUGUAUGUGUAGGAUAAUUUUGAUGUGAUGAAAAAUUUUAAAGUUUAGAGAAAAAUUUUGAAAGUAAACUCGGCCUAAGAUCGAGAAAAUGCAGGCUCCAGGCUGCAACAGAGUGGCGGGCGACAUUCGAGGCCGCCAAGGACAAGGACGACAUCCUUCGCAAGGACACCGUCAGAGCCGUCUACGACGGGAGCUUCUUCAGUAAACUGGCGAAGGAGAAUGACGACUAAGGCUGUGUUCGCAUGUGGAUGAUGGGAACAUAGUGACUCCGCACGGAAAACGGAGCGAUCUAUUAGCACGUGAUUAAUUAAGUAUUAGUUAAUUUUUUUUCAAACAUAAAUUAAUUUGAUUUUUUAAACAACUUUUGUAUAGAAACUUUUUGUAAAAAAUACACCGUUUAGCAGUUUGAAAAGCGUGCACGCGAAAAACGAGGGAUUUGGGUUGGGAACCUAGAGGUCCAAACACACUCUAACGGGGUGUUUAGAUGGGGCUAAAACUUUUUAGCCCAUGUCACAUCGGAUGUUUGGACGCUAAUUUGGAGUAUUAAACAUAGACUAAUAAAAAAACUAAUUUCAUAAAUGAGAGCUAAUCCGCGAGACGAUUUUUUUAAGCCUAAUUAAUCUAUAAUUAUAAAAAGUUUACUGUAGCAUCACAUUGUCAAAAUCAUGACAUAAUUAGACUCAAAAGAUUCGUCUCGUGAAUUAGUCCAAGGAUAUGGAAUGUGUUUUGUAAUUAGUGUAUGUUUAAUACUCUAAAUUAAUAUCCAAACAUCCGAUGUGACAUGGAUUUGGAAUAAGUCCCUGGAAACCAAACAGGCCCUAAGGGUCCUUCUGCGCCGCGAAGCAAGCAUGGCUGGUUGUGAUGGUUACCUCUCUUUAUGAUCGGAGUACCAAGGGCUUCAUCACUUUGUUGUUAAAAUCAGUCUUAUUAAAUUUUGAUAAGUUUUGACGUUACCCAAGGUACUGUUGUAUAAAUAUUUAGCUUAAUACUUUUGUAUGACUAGCAAAUAUGCCCGUGCGUUGCAACGGGUGAAAAAACGUAAUGAUAAUAUACGUUUUUCAUGCAUAACCAUGUCGAUAACAAUCAGAAAAUUAGAACUACGAAACUUUAUUUUCUAGCGCGUUUUCUUUUGUGCUUUUUUCUGACAUUUUUUCCUUUUUUUAGAUUAGAUUAGAUUAGAGAUAAAAAAGAUAUAUAAAUGGACUAAAAAACGACGAAUAUAAAUUUGACUUUUUUCCUCCGCGCUUUUUUCCGUUCUUUUAAUUUUUUUUCUCGUGCAUUUCUUUUACGAAGGGUUUUUUUCACCACUUUCACAUAGUGUCAAACCUUUCUAGAUAUAAUAGGAUUCGAUUUUUUUUACCGCAUCACGUAUAAUUCCUUUUUCUUUAGAAACAGACAAUUUUUUCGCCCUUUUUUAUCGCGUCAACGGAGUCGGAAUCGUUUUGAUUUUUUCCCCUUUUUUUGGAUCGGACAGAUUUUUUUUUGCCCGGUUUAUUUCGCCCGAUCGAUUUUUUUUACCGCGUCACAUAUAAUUCCUUUUACUUUGGAUUUUUUUCGCCCUUUUUUUACCGCGUCGACGGAGUCGGAUUCGUUUUGAUUUUUUUUCUCCCUUUACUUUGGAAUUUUUUCGCCCUGUUUUCACCACGUCGACGGAGUCGGAUUCGUUUUGAUUUUUCCCCUUUUUGGCUUUUUUUGGAUAGGACAGAUUUGUUUUUUUUUCGCCCCGUUUUUUUAUCGGACUUUUAUCUUUUUUUUCGCCUGGUUUUUUUAUUUUUUUACCGCGUCACAUAUAAUUCCUUUUUCUUUAUCGGAAAGUUUUUUUUCGCCUUUUUUUACCGCGUCGAUGGAGUCAGAUUCUUUUCAGCUUUUUCCUUUUCUUUUAUCGGACAAAUUUUUUUUUCGCCCAUUUUUUUUUCUCCUGUUUUUUUCGGAUCGGACUAUUUUUUUCUUUUUUCGCCCGGUCGAUUUUUUUACCACGAUAUAUAUAAUUCCUUUUUCUUUGGAAUAGGACAGUUUUCUUUUUAUUUUUUUAAACUCUUUUUACCGCAUCGAUGUAGUCGGAUUCGUUUCGAUUUUUUUCCUUUUUUUGCUUUCUUUUUUGUCGGACAGAUUUGUUUUUUUUCCACCCGGUUUUUUUCCGCCCAGGUUUUUUUAUCGGACUUUUCUUUUUUUUUUCUCCACGAUACAUAUAAUUCAUUUUUCUUUGGAAUAGGACAGUUUUCUUUUUAUUUUUUUAAACUCUUUUUACCGCGUCGAUGUAGUCGGAUUCGUUUCGGUAUUUUUUCCUUUUUUUCCUUUUUUUUUGUCGGACAUAUUUGUUUUUUUUCCGCCCGGUUUUUUUUCGCCAGGUUUUUUUAUCGGACUUUUCUUUUUUUUUCGCUCGGUUUUUUUCUCCCGUUUUUUGACGGACGACAGAAGCACCUAGAGAAGUGUUUUUUUUUUUCUUUUCUCCAAUCCAAUACAGAUCGGAUCUCUUCCAGGGAAAUCAGAUUUUUUUUCUCCAGGGAAUCGAACUCUUUUUUUUCGUUUUUUUUAUUCAUUAAACGGUUUGUCUCUCGGACUUUUUUUUCCCUUUUUAAGGGAUCGGGUGUUUUUUUGCCAGGGACGGGUGUUUUUUUCGCCCGGUUUUUUUUCACUUUUUUUUUUGGAUCGGACUUUUUUUUCGUCCGGUUUUUUUGAUCAGACAAACUUGGUUUUUUCUGCCCGGUUUUUUUGACGGACGAUGGAAGCACCUCUUAUUUUUUAAGUAGUAGUAGAUUUGGCAGCAUUUUUAUGAGAGGAAAAAUUCCAAAACUAUUAAAUUUUGGUAGGAUAUAUAGCAUUUGAUAAAACCAUGUUUAGUUCGUUAGCCUAGCAAAAUUUGAUGUUCUCCUUUAACGAAUCGUAUAAGAUAGUGUGGGGUUUUAUAUUGGCAGAGAGAAAAAAAUAAAGACCUAAAAAAAACAACAAACAAUUUUGAUAGAUUGAAAGUGUCAAUAAAGUAAACAAGCCCAUAAGUUUGUGAUAUAUCGGUCGAUGCCUGCAAAUCAAAGAGCACCCUGCAAAAGUGGUUGUCUCUCUGAAGUCUGAACAAGAAAAAACAGAGCCAGGGCGCCAUGAAACGAAUGAUCCAUAUUUACCUAGGAAAUAGUCCUAAAAAAGAAAACCUAGGAAAUGCCCGGAAGUCAUAUGCAUUUGCGUAGGGACAAAAACGUGGAAAUCGGUUCACCAAAUGGUGGAAAGUAGCGGCACGUUAGAACAUCGUCUUAACAACGGUAAUGAGUCUAAUGACCUUUUCUGGAUUCUCGCACGAAGCCACGAACUACCUAGCUUUGCUUUAAGCUGUCGUUUGUUUAUCCCUGUCACGGAGCUCAAUCAGCAGGUGUUACUCUCCUCAAUGGCCAGUCAAAAUAAAUCCACGGUGGGAUUGUCUUCAACUUUCAGUUUUCACACGCAAAUAGUAGUAACCUUCUGCCAACUACCAUUUCAUUUCGUGUAGGCAGUCAUUUACAAUCUUACAUGUUUUCAGCUUUAAAAAAAAACUGUCAUCUGAUAGGCCCCUUCAUUGAUUAAACUAUACAUAAUAGUAUGCCAACUAAUCAUACUACUCCGUAGUAGUAGUAGUAUGCUAGUUUGAGUAUGCCAACCAUUUCAUUUCAUCUCGUAUUUGGCAAUUUGAGUAUAUGCCAACUUAAAACAUACGAGUAUUACCAGUUUGAGUAUGCCAACCAUCCUAUUUCGUAUUUGGCAAUUUUAAGUAUACCAACUCAACAUACUAGUAUUAUCAUUUUGAGUAUACCAAACAUUUCAUUUCGUAUUUGGCAAUUUGAGUAGGCCAACUCAAUACACUAGUAUUGCCAAUUUGAGUAUGCCAAACAUUUCAUUUCAUAUUUGACAAUUUGAGUAUGCCAACCUAACAUAUUACUUCAUCAUACUUUUUAAGCUACCAGGCCUAAUAUAUAGCUAAUAAAAUUAAAGCCACACUUUAACUAUAUAUUAGCGAUUCUAAUCAACUGAUUCCUAAGAUUGAUAGAUGAGCACGGUCUCGAUCGACUCUCGACAGCACACGACACGCACAUGGUGCUGAACUAAGUGUGUAGGUAUUAUCUUCUUCUGCCUACCAUGUUGCUCCUAUAUAUAUAAGGCGGACAUCCAUAGUGGCCACACGUCUCCAAAAGACUCGGGAGAAGAGAUCUAACAGUCAACUCGUAAAAUACUCCCUACGUUUCAUAUUUUAAAUUAUUUGACUUUUUUUAGUUAAACUUGUUAAAGCCUAUGUUUAUAAAAAAUAUAUUAGUAUUUUAACAUAAAAUAAACAUAUUAUAAAAAUAUGUUUGAGAGUAGAAACAGCCGGCGAAGCGUGACGAUGGACGCUCGACGGCGGCGGCUGUCCCCGGUGGUGGUCGUAGCGGCUUUUCUUUUCUUCCCCCUGUUCUUCGGUAAGGCUGCGAUUUCCAUCUCUCUCUUCUUCUUUUCUUUUUCCCUUUUUUUACAUUUUUUGUUUGGUUAUGUCCUGAAAGGGAGCCAGCCGGCGGCGGCGUACGGCGAGGCUUCAGGCGCCGGCGGCAUGACGGCACUGCAGAAGCACGCGGCGUUCUUCGACAAGGACAAUGACGGCUUCGUCUCCCCGACCGAGACAUACGACGGUGAGCUUCAAAGGCCUUCUAAAUUUCUAGUACUUUCUCGUUUCGCUUGUGAACUGAACACGAUUUGGUUGGUCUUGGUCUGCGCGUAUUUUCGCCUCAUUUUAUCCUCUCAUGGUUGCAUGCAUCGCAGGGUUACGCGCCCUCGGACUUGGAGCUGGCUUCUCCAUCUUAAGCGCUGCGUUGAUCAAUGGCGUACUUUCACUCAAGACCAGACCUGUACGAUCAGUAUCUCUCUCUCUCUCUCUCUCUCUCUCUCUCUCUCUCUCUCCGGCUCAAAAAACUAUCUGAAGUUUUUAUCGUUUUAUUUACUGAAUUUAAGGUGCCUCACUAGUCACUACAAUGACGUGCCGUUUUGAGAGUUGUUAUCAUCGCUUAACUACUGAUGACAAAUACUCCCUCUGUCCCUAAAAAACGAAUCUAAAACUGAAUAUGACAUAUUUUAGUACUAUGAAUCUGGACAUAUGUAUGUCCACAUAUAUCUAGAUUUGUAGUAUUAGGAUUUAUCAUUCAGUACUAAGUUGAUUUUUAUGGGACGGAGGGGGUAGUUGUGUAGUGUUAGGCUAUCAACUUCAGUAGUGGCUUAGUAUAGUUCGUGUGCCAAUUUUUUUUAGUAUACGGAUACAUAUUUGAAGUAUUAAACGUAGAUUAAUAACAAAACAAAUUACAGAUUCCGCCUAUAAACUACGAAAUGAAUUUAUUAAGCCUAAUUAAUCCAUCAUUAGCAAAUGUUUAUUGUAGCAUCACAUUGUAAAAUCAUAGCGUAAAAGAUUCGUCUCGUAAUUUACAGUCGGACUGUGCAAUUGUUUUUUUUUCAUCCAUAUUUGAUGCUCUAUACAUGUGUGUAAAUAUUUGAUCUGAUGAAAAAGUUGAAAAUUUGAAGGAAAAAGUUAGAAUCUAAACACGGCCAGUAUUGAAAAUCUAACCCUUCCAUGUACUUCACUGCUACUGUCCUGAUCAGACCUCAAUUCUGGACAGCCGCUUUUCUUCUACAGUAAUGUUCUAUAAUUAUUAUUUUUUUCUCUAAGAUCGUUAGAACGUCUCUCCAUGUACUCGUUUUAGGUUAUAAGAUGUUUUGACUUUGGUUAAAAUCAAACUGCUUUAAGUUUUACCAAGUUUAUAGAAAAAAAUAGUAAUAUUUUUUACCAAAGAUAAAUUUAUUAUAAAAAUAUAUUUAAUUAUUAAUUUAAUAAAACUAAUUUAGUAAUGUAAAUUACUAUGUUUGUAUAUAAACUUAGUCAAACUUAUAGAAGUUUGACUUUGACCAAAGUUAAAAUAUCUUAUAACCUAAAAUAAAAGGAGUAUGUUUUUAAGUGAACCAUUUCCAAUGAAUGACACAUUACAUACAAAAAAAAAAGGCGUCAAAUUAAUCGUUGGAUCAUGUUGAAUUCACGCAGGACAAUGCAACAUCACCACGCUUAGAUAAUGGGAAUUUAUAAAACCCGGCUUCUACACCAACGGGGAUGUAUACAGCCACAGAAAAUCCGACCAAACAAGCUCAGUUCAUACACACAUGUUCACAAACAAAAGGAGCACAAAGGCUCAAGCACACCUUACAUAAAACUAAAAGAGCACAAAGACUUCCAACGCCUUUCAAAGUGAAAAGACCUUCCAAAUAAACUAAUGACCACAUUACUCCUUUAACCGCUUUCUCAUGUUCCAUCCAUCUUUACCAAAGAAGUGCAUGACAGAUGUCUCUAACAGUUUGCAUCCUUCCUUCAUCACAUCGCGCUCAUCUUCUUUAAGCAGCAAGGACCAUUGUCGAGCCCAAUACGUCCCCCUGAAAAUAACCUGCAAGUAAGAGUUAAAAUUGGAGCCAUUGAAGACCACAUCAUUUCUACAAAUCCACAUUGCCCACAACAACGCCACAAUCCCUAUAAAGAUUUGGUGCUUUAGCCUAGAUUGUAAACCCUUUAGCCAAAUCCCAAACAUAUUAGCAACACUGUUAGGCGGAUUUAUCCCAAAUGUUAUAAAAAGGGUACUCCAAACAAAUCUAGCCACAUGACAAUCAAAAAAGAGAUGUUGUAUCGUUUCAUUGUGGUUACAAAAACAACACUUAGUGAUGCCCUUCCAAUUUCUUUUUGCUAGAUUGUCCUUCGUGAGAAUCACUCCCUUCUUUAAAUACCAGAGGAAGAUUUUGUUUUUCAAAGGAAUUCUAAGCUUCCAAAUUAAAUCCUUCCUUGGCACUACAUUCUCAUACAUAAUCAUUUUAUACAUGGAACUAACCGAAAAUAUUCUGGUUUUGUUAACUUUCCAAAUAAGCUUGUCUCUAUGGUUUGAGAGCCUAACAAGAACCACUUUAGCCACUAGGUUAAACCAUGCAACCAAAUUCUCCCCCACCAAAGCCCUUCUGAACUCAACAUUUAACGGCACUUUAUCUAUAACAUCCGCAACAAUAGCAUUCUUAUUCCUUACAAGAUUGUAUAAAUUAGGGUACAACUUUUCAAAAGGUAAAUCACCAAUCCAGCAAUCCUCCUAGAAUCUUAUCUGAGAACCAUCCCCCACCUUAAAGGCACCGCCUUUAAAAAAGACAUCCCUCAUCCCCAUUAGCCUAGCCCAGAAAUGUGAAUCUCCAGGGCGUUUCUCGACUUGUGUGAUGGUUUUCUUAGUCAAGUAUUUAUUCCUAAGAAUGUCCUGCCAAACCCCUUCUUCAUUGAUGAGUUUGUACAACUAUUUGCUAAGCAAGCAUUUGUUUUGUAUCUCUAAGUUCCGUAUACCCAAGCCACCACAUUCCUUUGGUUUGCACAAUACACUCCAUCUUGCUAACCUAUACUUCUUCUUAUGUUCAUCACAUUGCCAGAAAAAUCUAGAUCUAUAAUAGUCUAGCUUUUUGAGAAUACCCUUAGGGAUCUCAAAGAAGGACAACAUGAACAUCGCUAAACUACUUAACACUGAAUUGAUAAGGACCAACCUUCCUCCUACCAAGAGAAAUUUUCCUUUCCAACUACUCAGUUUCUUUUGAAUCCUCUCCUCCACACCCUGCCAAUCCUUAUUGUUGAUUCUCUUGUGAUGCAUUGGAAUCCCUAAGUAUUUAAAAGGGUAAUCCCCGGUAUCACACCCAAAUAAUUUGACGUACUCAUGCUCCACAUCUUUUGCCUUGCCAUAGCAAAAUAACUCACUCUUAUGGAAAUUAAUCUUUAAGCCAGAUAAUUUCUCAAAUGCACUUAGUACAAGCUUGAGAUCUCUGGCUUCAUCAAGAUCAUGAUCCAUAAAAAGAAUAGUAUCAUCAGCGUAUUGUAAAAUAGAAAGACCAUUAUCAACUAAAUGAGGUACCACUACUUUGAAUCUGCCUUGAUCUUUCGCUCUUUGUAUUAAAAUGGCUAACAUAUCUGCAACAAGAUUGAACAGAAUAGGUGACAAAGGAUCACCUUGCCUCAAACCUUUCCUUGUUUGAAAAUAACUCCCAAUCUCAUCAUUUACUUUGACUGCCACACUCCCACCCCUAACAAUCGAGUCAAUCCAAUCGCACCACUUAGAAGAGAAACCUUUCAUUCACAAUGACUGUUGUAGAAACUUCCAAUCAACUUUGUCAUAUGCUUUCUCAAAGUCUUGCUUUAGAAUCACCCAUUCUUCUUUUUCUUGUGCAAUUCAUGAAGUGUUUCAUGCAAAAUUACCACUCCUUCCAUAAUGUUCCUUCCUGGCAGGAAAGCUGUCUGCGAAGGUUUAAUGACCUUCUGAGCCACUAGGGCUAUUCGAUUGGCCAUUAUCUUCGUAAAAAUUUUAAAACUAACAUUCAACAGACAAAUGGGCCUAUACUGUUGAAUUCUACUAGCGUCCUUUUGUUUGGGAAGGAGAGUAAUGAUUCCAAAAUUUAAUCUGUGCAGUGGCAAAGUUCCUUCAUAAAAAUCGUGAAAGAGGGCCAUAAGAUCAUCCUUGAUUACAUCCCAGAACACUUGGUAAAACUCUGCUGGGAAACCAUCAAGUCCCGGAGCUUUGUUGUGUUCCAUUUGAAAAUUUGCUUCUUUAACUUCCAACUCCUUGAAGCUUUCACUCAACAACUCAUUCUCAACAUCCGUGACUUGUGUAAUAUCAUCUCUUUGGGAUUCCACCAUAGAAAAAUUAUUUUCCUUCGGCGCUCCAAAAAGAUUUUUAUAAUACUUGGAUAUGUAUUUCUUUAAUUGCACAUCACCCUUAAUCACACCCUCCUCUUGCUCUAAUUGAAAGAUUCUCGUCUUCCUAUGCUUGCCAUUGGCCACUAAAUGAUAAUAUUUCAUGUUACGGUCUCCUUCUAUUAUGUGCUUAGUUUUUGCCCUUUGGUACCAUUUUAUUUCUUCUUCCCUCAACAAUUGGGCCAAUCUAUUUUUUACAAAGAGUUUCAAAUCUAACUCCUGAUUAGACAACAGUUGGACUUCAGCCUUCUUUUCUAGCUUGUCUGCUUUUGCUAUCAAAAGAACCUUCUCCCUCUUGUUCGCCCCGCUAACAUUCUUCGCCCACCCUCUCAAAAACUGUCAGAGCCUACGAAUCUUAAAUUGCCAUUUUUCCAACAUAUUAGACCCUCUACUUUCCUUUCUCCAAAUGUCUGCUACUAGAUCCACAAAGCCAUCUCUUAGCAACCAUCCAAGCUCAAACUUGAACAACAGUUGUUUAUUAGCAUGUGUCCCAGCCCCCGUAUCCAGCAACAAAGGAGUAUGGUCAGAGAGUUCUCUAUUAAGAGCCCUGACAGUUGCUAACGGAUACUUUUGUUCCCAUUCAGUACUCAUUAGCACUCUAUCCAACUUCUCAAAAGUUGGAUUGUGCAACGAGUUGGCCCAUGUAAAUUUUCGACCAGAGAGUUCUAGUUCUCUCAAAUCCAGGCUGUCUAUGACAGCGUUGAACAAAAAAGGCCACUUUACAUUAAAGUUAUUAUUAUUCUUUUCACUAGCCUUCCUUAUGAUAUUGAAGUCUCCUCCCAUAAGAAUAGGUAUAGACUCUUUAUUACAAGCAUUAACAAGCUCUACAAGGAAAGCCUCCUUAUAUUCUUCUUGUGUUGCCCCAUACACUGCCAGAACGCACCAUUGGAAGCCAUCUACCUUAUUUUGCACAUGGAACUUUACAUAGAAAUCUCCCUCAUCUAUACUUGCAACCUCAAAGAAUUCCAAAUUAACCCCCAAAAGAAUACCCCCAGGUCUCCCCUUCGGUCUUGUCCAAUGCCACAUAAAAUCUUUACCACCACAAAUAUUUUUUAGACUAGAAUAUGAAAAAUCAUGUUUUCCAGUUUCCAAAAGAGUAAUGAAGUCUAGCUUCCACUCCUUGGAAGUCUCUGAAAGGAAUCUAAAUUUAGCCAAGUCACCUAGAUCUCUGCUAUUCCAAAAAAUUCCUUUCAUGACAUACUUUUCUUAUUUUUCAAGAUCACUUUCACCUUUUGUCCCUUGUUUCUUUUGAAGAAUGACUUGGACUUAUAAACCUUGAAACCCUUUUUUAAGUCACAACUUAGGUGAUCGGGUUCUUCGUCCAUAACUUCGUCCACUAAGCCACCACAUAAGUGACCAAGGACUAAGUUAUCCACCAUCUCAUCCUCCUCUGACUCAAGUUCUCCUUCUAUGUUUCCAACUAAAUCAGCUUUAGGUGCAACAUAAUUUCUAAGUCUAGUCUCUUCAACAUUUUUCAAACUAAUUAUUGAACCUAAAAUUUCAGCACUAGAGCUACCAAGAUUAAUACCUAUGUUGCAUAGGUUAUCAAUAAUAGAAGGACAAGACAAAGACAAAAAUGAACCAUUAACAUCAUUACCUGACUUUAUCUAUCUACAUAGAGAACAUCCAUAAGGCGAUUCAUGGAAGUGAUUUAGGAGCUUAUGAUUCUGAAAGAAGGCGAUUAAGCCUGCAAUCUAUAGAUUGCAGACUGCUUAUGAUGGAAGCCUGUUUGCGAAGCUGGUGAAGGCGAGGAGAUAGGAGCAAAACCAGGCAUGAUUGUUGACAGCUGACGAGAGCUUCUGCAUUGAUCCUCCUAAUUAAGCAUCUCAGAUUAUGUGCCACUGUGCUAUGUGAACGGCUGACUGUGUAUUCUUUUACUCCCUCUCUACCAAUAUACGAGACAAAGCUUUUGCCCUCCUUUAAAAAAAAGAGAACAAUUGAGAUUAUGUCCUUUUUUUUCUUUUCGAGAAUACGAGGAGACGAUUUGUACCGGAUUUUAAAGAUGAGGGAGGCCCUAUACUUGGUUGUGUGAUUGAUGCUUGAUGAGGUUAUUCAACCAGCAGAUAGAAAUCAGGGAUGCUAAAUAGACUUAUUCAGCAAAUAUACGCUUGGAUGGGUUGUUAUCGUAUUACAAUCCGUUGGAAAAGGCCCAUUACCACCGGGAAAACUACCUCGGAGCCCACGCAAAAAUUACGACAGAAAUCCGACCCACACUGCGCUCCUAGUCUUCCACUCUUCCUCGCUUCAUCCGCUCUGCGCCUCUACCCCUCUGAUACAUGUCUGGGAGGUCUUUACCUGUAUACCAUUAAGGGCUCGUUCGGAUUAUAGGAUAGGAAAAACUUAGGAUAGGAAAUUUAUAGGAAUAGGAAAGGAAUUUAAGUGUAAAAUAGAGGAAUGAAAAACAAAGGAAUACAAAAGUUGAGAGCAUUCAGAUCACAGGAAAUUGAUUGCCUAGGAUUUGCAUGCAGAAAGCGAAAAAAAAGAGCUCGAGGUGGAUGGAUUUUCCUGUACUUUUCCUGUGAAAUUAGCAUCAAAGGAAACUUUCCUUUGGAUUUCCUACAACCAGUUUUCAUGAUCCGAAUGACAGGAAAGGAACAAAAUCCUAUAUACAGUAUUCCUCCAAAAAUCCUGUGAAGUUCCUCUAAUCCGAAUAAGCCCUAAGAAAGAUGGUGCCUGCCUCUGUGCCACUAAAAAGUUUGAACCUUCCUCUAUGCCAUCGUCGAACUUUAUCACGCCCUCCACACCAUUCCGUCGCUAUUCUGUGUGAGUUUAACCGUUUGGCAGCUCUGACAUGUGGGCCCGGGCAGGAAAUGUCGCUCUUGCCCUUUUAGUGUCUGCUUCGUUUCAGAGAGAGGCCAGGCGGCGUGGCGGACAAGCAGCCAAGCGCGGCAUUGAGGCAAGCGACCGGUGUGGCGGGCGGCAACCAGCCGAGGGACGGGGUGGUGUGGCGGCCAACCGACACGAGCAGCGAGGCAGCGGAUGAGGAGGUGAAGAGGCCCGUCCCGGAGGAGAAGUCGAAGCCCGUCAUCGUAAGUAGGGUGCUGGUGCAGACCUCGAUCUACACAAAGGAAGAGGUGAAUGCCAUCCUGAUCCAGUGCGGCCGGCUCAGCCGGAGCUCGUCAUCGUCGGGGAUGCGCCUCGUCGUCGACCGUCGAUCCCAUCGUCGUGGCGCAGGUUGGGGCUGACGCUGGUAGGAGGGUCGUCGUCGGGGAUGCGCCGGCUCCUCGCCACCAUGGGGGCCGCCGAGGAGGCCGCGGCGUCCGCGGCCGCCGCCGCCGCCGUCCUGGCGCUCUUUGUCGGUGGCGCCCCCGUCGGCGGGAUCGAUGGUCUCAUGGGCCUCCACCUCAGUGGCCGUCUCGUCCCGCGCUUCAAGGAGGUAGGCUAGCGCGCGCGCUCUCUCUCUCUCAACCCUAAGGGCAACAAAGUCAUUUGGUUGCGCUGUUACCCGCCGUUGGGACAAAAACGGACGGAAUGGUGUGGAUGGCGCGAUAAAGUUCGAUGAUGACAUAGGAGAGGCUCGAACUUUUUAGUAGCACGGAGACAAUACUAUCUUUUUUAAUGGUAUAUAGGUAAUAAAAACCUCCCAGUCUGGCAGUCUCCUCCGCCUUGGGCUCGUGUCUCCGUGCAGCGCGCCGCCUCUCCCCACCGCCGCCGCCUACACACCUCCCCACACCAAUACACCAUCAUCCCGUCGCCGCCACCAUGCUCCGCUAGUUCGCUCUGGCCUAAGGCUGCUCGGCUCCUCUCGACAUCCCCGUCGCGGCAGCCUCAACUGCCCUCGCCACUGUCGAGGCGGCUUCAGUCCAUGCCACCGCCGUAUAGACGGCCUUGAUCUGCAAUGUUCAAACGAGGUCUCCCGCCCCCGCCUCAUCUGUGAUAAUGGCAUCGGUGUGAUGACCACAGAGGAUGGUCGCUGGUCGGCAUCGGCGGCAUGGCUGGACAGCAUCGGCGGCAAGACUGGAAGCUGCCCACGCCCAGGAUACAUGGUGGCAUGCUGAUCUAUGGCUCUAAGAAUGAAAUUGGCAGUAGCUUUGAUUUUUGGUCUGCAAUUCGAUGAGAUGUUCUUGAUUUUCGAUUACCAAUGUUCUUGAUUUCCAGAUGCUUGAUAUUAUCCACCCAAACGGUAUAUACGAGGGGUUCUUUUACUUUACCGGUAAUUAUGAGUAACACAAAGUUAAACUUAUAUUUGGAUUACAAGGGUAUAAAGGUCCCUAUCCUGCUAGAGUGUUUGUCUGUUUGAGAAGCAAGGAAAAACAGGGCUGAAAUGAAUGAUCCAUAUUUACCAAGGAAAUCCUCGGAAGUCAUAUGCAUUUGCGUGGGGACAGAAACUUAGAAACCGUUCACCAAACGGUGGAAAAGCAGCGGCACGUAAGAACAACGUGGUUAUGGCCUUUUCUGGCUUCCUCACACGAACAACCUGGCUCAUUUGUAUUUAAGCCGUUGUUGUUUUCUCGCUGUCACGGAGCCCAAUCAGUAAUUGUUACUCUCCUCAAACAGCCAGUCAAAAUAGUAAACCUUUUUCCAACCAUUUAAUUUCGCGUAGCCAGUCAUGCACACUAUACAAAUUUUACAGGUUUCCUAUUCAGCGAGAAAAACCCAGUCAUCUGAUAGACAGGUUCAUCAAUUGAAACAUAACAAUCUGACGAGAAAUCUGUGACAGAUACAGAAUGACAGCGAUUCUCGCCAAUUGAUUCCAUUCCUAAGAUUAAUGGAUAGAUGAAUGGCUAGAUUGGUGGGAGGCUACCGUAAACAUACAAGAGACACCUAAGAAGGCACUCCGCACUUUGAUGUUGUUGGUCGCCUGGGAGAUAUGGAACGAAAGGAAUCGCAGAACCUUCCAACAGAAUGAGCUUUCAGCUACCUCCCUUUUAGCCAAGAACAAGAAAGAGGCCAAAACUUGGGCCUUAACAGGAGCGAGAAGUUUUAAUAGCUGGCUUUCUUUUAGUUAGCUCGGACCAAAGGUCCUAGCUCCUUUCUUUUUUUCUUUUACUUUAUAAAGUUCCCCUUCUCUAUUCAAUAAAAUUGGCGCUCGUCCAUUCGUUCAAGAAAAAAAAUUGAGCACUGUCUCGAGAGUACACGGCACGCAGCAAUGUUGUUUAAGAGUGUGGGCAUUAUCCUCUUCCAAAUCGUGGUUAAGGCCUGGUGUCAAAAAAAAAUCGAGGUUAAGGCAGUGUUUAGUUCCUUCAAACUACAAAAAAUUCCGUCAAAUCAAAUGUUUGGACAUAUACAUGAAGCAUUAAAUGUGAACGAAUAAAAAACUAAUUGCACAGUUUGCAUGUAAAUUACGAGACGAAUCUUUUAAAGCCUAAUUACGUCAUGAUUUGACAAUGUAAUGCUACGGUAAAUAUUUACUAAUAAUAGAUUAAUUAGGCUUAAUAAAUUCGUCUCGUGGUUUAUAGACGAAAUCUAUAAUUUAUUUUGUUAUUAGUCUACGUUUAAUACUUCAAAUAUACGUCGAUAUAUAUAUUUUGGUACACGAAGUAAACCCGGCCUAAGCUGGCGAGUUAGGGACCUGACAUAUCUAUCAUGUUGCUCGCUAUAUAUAGCGCGGAUAUCUGGACACAGAGGCCACACGCCGUCGAGACUCGAGAGAUUCAGGAACAGAAACCGCCGAGAGAGUUCGUAGCAGUCAACGCGCGAGGCAGGGCCGAGAAGAAACCGCCGGCGACGCACGCGCGAUGGACGCUCGGCGGAGGCGGUUGUCCCCGGCGGUGGCCGUGGCGGCGGCUCUUCUUUUCUUCCCCAUGUUCUUCGGUGAGGCUGCGAUUUCCGUCUCUUUUUUUUUGUUUCGUUUUUUCAGUUUUGUUUUGUUGCGGCGCUGUUUGAUUUUGCUCGCUCGCUUCUGAAUCCUGAAAGGGAGCCAUACGCCGGCGGCGGCGGCGGCGUACGGAGAGGCUUCAGGCGACGCCGGCGUGACGGCGCUGCAGAAGCACGCGGCGUUCUUCGACAAGGACGGCGACGGCAUCGUCUCCCUCUCCGAGACAUACGACGGUGAGCUCCCCAUCUCGUUUCACUUGUGAUUUUAUUUGUGAACUGAACACGAUUUGGUCUGUUCAUGCCGUGUCGUCCUUCCGAAUUUUCGCCUCAUUUUUUAUCCUCAUCUCGGAUGCACCGCAGGGUUACGAGCACUCGGACUCGGGUCUGGCCUCUCCAGCUUGAGCGCCGCCUUCAUCAAUGGCGUCCUUUCCCCAAAGACCAGACCUGUACGCUUCCCUCUCUCUCUCUUUCUCUCACUCUGGCUAAAAUGUUACUAUCUGAAAGUCUUUAUGUUUUUAUUACUGAAUUUAAGGUGCUUUAUUAGCCUGUAAUUACUUGCAGAGAAUUCUUGCUUGUUUACAUCACUACAAUGAUAUGCUGUUUUGAAAGUUGUCAUCAGCGCUUAACUAUCUGAUCACAUAAUUCUGUAUUAGGCUAUCAACUUCAGAAGUAUUGAAAAUCUAACCCUUCCUUGUACUUCACCACUACUGUCGUAAUCAGGCCUCAAUUCUGGAUAAGUUCGGUAUAGACAGUAGGGUGUGAAUUGUGAUGUAGGCGUGACAUAUUGAUUAGGAUUAGCUGCUACUAUCCUUCUUUUUACUGUGAUCUAUAGCUAUUUUUUCUCUAAGAUUGUUAGAACGUCUUUGUACGUAUAUCGAUAUAAGUGAUCCAUUUCCUAUGGCAUACGAAAAGAGAUGUUCAAUUAAUCGUUGGAUCAUGUUGAAUUCACGCAGGACAAUGGAACAGCACCACGCUUAUCUAUCUACAUAGAGAACAUCUACAAGGGGAUUCAUGGAAGCGAUUCAAGCGCCUAUGAUUCUGAAGGAAGGUAAUUAAGCUGCGGUUGCAGACUACUUUCUGCUUUCACCUUGGCUCUUCAAUUUGACCCUUCUCAUCCAAAGAUCAUUCGAUUCAUUUCACAGACUAUUUUCACUCCGGUGUAUCUAUUUCAGUAUGAUUGCUAAUAUUUCAAGUUUUCAGGUUCGUUGCUGAAAAGUUUGAGGAGAUAUUCGCCAAGCACGCCAAGACCGUGCCUGAUGCUCUGACAUCGGACGAGAUAGACGAGCUGCUUCAAGCGAACCGCAAGCCCGGUGACUACACUGGAUGGUAGUAAUUAAUUUUCUGGCUAUUACCACUCAAAAUAUUAAUGAACUUUCAUGUGAUCUUACUACUGUAUAUGCUGCUGUUCUUGCUCGAAUUGAAAUGCAGGGUCGCAGCAUCGUCAGAGUGGAAGAUUCUGUACAAGAUCGGCAAGGACAAGGACGGCCUUCUUCGCAAGGAGGCCGUGCGAGAAGUCUACGAUGGAAGCCUGUUUACCAAGCUGGCGGCGGCAAGGAUAAACGACGAAAACCAAGCAUGAUUGGUGACAGCUGAUGGGAUCAUCUCCAUUGAUUCUCCUGAUUAAGCAUCUCAAAUCAUGUGCCACUGUGAUAUGAGAACGAUUGAGAUGAUGUCUGAACACAAAAAGAUAGUCAUGCAAGAUAGAAGUAUGAACAAGUGUGGACAGAAUCUGCAGAUGGGGAUGGAUCGUUUAGUUCUGUCCUUUUUUGUUGGUUUCUUGGGGAUAUUGAAUGUUUAUAUUAUUAUACCUGCAAAUGGUUGGCAGUGCAAGGCUGCAAGCAAUGGCACACUAUUUAUACAUUUGGCGUCCCUUAGCCCGUAGUUGCCCGUGAUGCCGUGAUGCUUGUCUUAUCUGAACUCUGAAAGUCUGAAUCAGUUAGCAGCAUUAUCUUCGUGUGUGCUUGGCAGGUCGAAGAGCUUCCGUUCCUUUCUCUACUUGCAGAUCGUGAUCGCCUGGUACUGUUAACAAAUCGCAGUGUUUCUAUGCUGGCAAGUCACGCACAAGGGGAACACAUUAGUUGUCAAUCAUCUCAUCAGGUGGAGCUUCUAUGCAAAAUAGUUGUUUAUUCAGCGAAUUAGGUGGGUUUUCUACUGUUAAAUGGCGCUUAGAGAUGAUGAGGCAAAUUAAACAAAGUACAUUUAACCCAAAAAAAAAACAGUAUGCAAAAUCCUACUUGUUCUGUUGUGCAGGUGAAGCCGAAGAAAGUGGUCCAGGUUGAACUGUGCAGGCCAGCUAAUACAGUACAUAUGGUCCAUGGACUCGGAUAAUGUCCAUAUGGUCCACGAAACGAAUGGAAUUUCCAUGGACUCGGACCAGUCAGGCCCACAAUUGUUGCGCUCAGCCCAACCGCGACAUCGCGAGACGCAAAACCGCCGGACGCGUGGGCCUGCACACGGAAUCUCGCCUGAUAUCAGGCCCAUCUCACGCGAUCCGGCCUACCUGGCUCGCCUCAACCGACGUAAAUUCCCGCACGCGCACAUGCUGCUCUAAAAACUCUUCCGCUCCAGAGGCUUCACAGCUUUCUCCUCCCGUAGAGCCAAGCCAACCAAGCGGGAGCAGCAUGGCUACGGCCACGUCGACGGCGACGAGCGUGGCGGCGGCGCUCCUCCUCUCGCUCCUCCUGGCGCGCGCGCGGGGCGACGACGACUACUCGGGGUUCGUGUACGCCGGGUGCUCGCAGGGGCGCUACGCCUCCGGCACGCAGUACGCGUCGGACGUCGACUCCGUGCUCACCUCCGUCGCCAACAGCGCGCCCUACUCCCCCUACGCCAACUUCACCUCGCCGACGUCGAACUCGGUGGUCGGCGUCUACCAGUGCCGCUCCGACCUCCCGGCCUCCGUUUGCACCGGCUGCGUCCGCUCCGCCAUCUCCAGGCUCUCCUCGCUCUGCGCCUGGGCCACCGGCGGCGCCGUGCAGCUGCGGGCCUGCUUCGUGCGCUACGGCAACGACACGUUCCUCGGGAAGCAGGACACGGCCGUGCUGUUCAAGAAGUGCGGCGGCUCGCCGGGGGACGCCGGCGGCGCCGCCAUGCGGGACUCGGCGCUCGGCGCGCUCGUGGCCGCCGCGGCGCCCGCCGGGGGAGGCUACCGCGCCGGCGGGUCCGGGGGCGUGCAGGCCAUGUCGCAGUGCGUGGGGGACCUCGGCGCCAAGGCCUGCUCCGACUGCGUCUCGGCCGCCGCCGGCCAGCUCAAGGCCGGCUGCGGCUACGCCACGGCCGGCGAGGUGUACCUCGGCAAGUGCUACGCGCGCUUCUGGGGGAACGGGGGCGGUGGAUUCAGCAGCGGCGCCGCCGGGGACGCGUACGGAUCUGGGCAUCGCGUGUCCGGCAACCGGUUCGUUCUCUCCGUCGCCGGCGGUUUCUUCACUUCCUUGGCCUAUAUAUUUGUACUCAUGUAGUUACUGAAUUACAGUUGCAGUAUGAUCAAUGAUCGUGAACUAGACUACUAGAGUGCCUGUGUCUGUGUGCUUUAUGCGUGGUAUGUAACCACUAAUCAGCAUAUCUGCAUAUGUGAUGCGAUGCAGGUUUACUCCUUGUGCUUGAACAAAUUAAACUUGAUGCUUUCUAACUUAAAUGGACUUCUUAUCAAGUUUGUAACUGUAAAUUUGAUAUUCUAAAAUUGCAGUUAUGUGUAGCUCCUCGUUCUAAAAUGAUCAAUCAUGUUGAUCUGCAUUUGCAGUAGAGUUCCUUUAAUUCGGUGGUGCUGUUAAAGUUCCACCUCGUGCACAAACAGAAACUCACAAAUUGACAUGCAGCAUCUCCCUCUCUGUCUGAGCGUGUCCACAAAUGACAAAACCAUAACUCUACCGCGCUAAGUCUAGUCUUGUUGAAAUUUCACUGGCCAGCUCAGAUAUCAUACCUUCAGUUGUUUAAUCGACUAAUCACCAGUAUCUAACAAUUCGAACGUGCUGUACACCAAUUAGAACACUGCAGCAUACCCUCCUCCACAUAGACCCUGAAUACCUGGUCUGAUCGUCUGGUGUCUGAACUGAUAAUGCAGUGCUCAAAGGCAUGCUACUGGCAAGAAGACCAAAAGUGCUUUAAUUCUCCUCGCCUUUAUCUUUGCUCUGAGCUUUUCUUGAUAGGAAACUUUUGACAUGGACUUGCUUUAUCGUUGUGAUCACUAUGAAGUUUUAGUAGAAUAUCUCAAAGGGGAUUCAAAUGAUUCAGCUUUUCGCUUGAUUAGCAUUGAAAUGGAGGGAUAUCGCUGGUAUCCCUCACAUUGCGAGCAGCGUAGUGUGGUUUGCUUUUUGUAAGCUUUAGGAGGUUAAGCUGCCAGCCCUUUCACUAGUUACUAGGCCUGUUAGCUACUACUUUGGAUUAAGUUAAUCAGUACUACUACUAUCCCGCUGAAUGCCGUAUCUGUUUAAGUUUCACCGUACAUUAUUGUCACCUCUCCAGUAUAAGCUUGUUGCAAGGUCGCCAGCUUGCAUGCUAUGAUUGGAUCAUACCGGUGGCUUUUUGCUGGAACGCCGCCUUUCCUUUUGCUGUCCUUGUUCUUAUUACCAUACAUGCCUUCUCUUUUGGUAUGCAAUGGGUCAAAGGAAUGAACACCAAGCACUAGGGCUGGAUGGAACAAGCUAGAGAAAGGACUCCACUCCACUGUGCUUCAUGUGGAGAGAAGAUCCAGCUAGAUCACAUAGCUUUCUAGCCGGCGAUGCCACCCCUGCAUCGGUAGUGGAGAAAAUUUGUUUGCAAGCAAUACACUUUAACUUUGUUAGGAUAGUUCUUCUCCUUACUUUCGCCGGGAGAUAGUUCUCCAUACUUGUUCAAGGAAGCUAGUUCACUAGCUGUUUCAGGCUUUCAGCUUGGACAUGCCAUUUGGACCAGAGAUAAGGGGGAGAUAGAGAGGUGGGGACGCUGAUAUGUGAGCCCUAUAUGCUAACUGUUGAGUUAAUCGGUUCGACCAGAUCAAUGAGUCAUGUCAACAAAUAUUGCUGUAAAUAGUGUUCUGAAAAUCAAAUUACAUUAACGGUUAGGAGAUCAAAUAUUCAGUAUUAGAGUUGAGAGAUACAAAUCAGAUUGAACUUAUAUUUGAGAGAUUCAAAUGAACUUGCUCCUUUCACUCUUUCAGUGCAGUGCUGCAGUUCAGACAGUGGUAACGGGCCCACGGCCUGGCCCAACUUGGCCAUUGACAGUUUUAGCCCGUACUGGCCUGGCCCAACUGCACUUCCAUCCACCUGAUGUCGAGUUCCAGAAGGAUCCAACAAAACGGAACGUGCGGUCGUGUCAAGUUCCAGCCUUAACAGCGAAGCAAAACAUCUCACUUUUUUUCUCUUUUGGAUUUCUUUCUGCCGUCAUCUUCGAAUAUCCAUGACUCGCUUGAUCUCCACCGCCCGUUUCUUCCAUCUGAGUCGUCCACGUGGCUCCACACGCGUUCCCAUCCGGCCCUUCCCGUACAGCCAUGACUCAGCCAUCGGGUUCCUCGAACGUGUCGUCCGGCUAAAUCUGGUGCACUUGCCUGCACCGCGUCCACGAGAACCGCACGAGAACCUCCCCCUCUCUCCAUCCCUCGCAUCCCGUGGACCCAUUCCACCCAGGAGCCCUCCGAUCCACCGCCCUCUCCUCGCUAAAGGCGAAACCCUCCUCGACUCGUCGAUCCGAUCCCCCAUCCCCCCCCCCCCCCCCCCCCAAAAAAAUCCCUCGCCUCCUCUUCCUCCUCCCCGAGCUCGAGUCCGAGAGCCUCCGAUUCGGCAGCGAUGGCGCUGGAGUGGGUGGUGCUUGGGUACGCGGCGGGAGCGGAGGCGAUCAUGCUGCUGCUGCUGACGCUGCCGGGGCUGGACGGGCUCCGGCGGGGGAUGAUCUCCGUGGUGCGGAGCGCGCUGAAGCCGAUGAUGUCGGUGGUGCCCUUCUGCCUCUUCCUGCUGAUGGACAUCUACUGGAAGUACGAGACGCGGCCCACCUGCGACGACGAGCACCACUGCACCCCGUCCGAGCACCUCCGCCACCAGAAGUCCAUCAUGAAGUCGCAGCGCAACGCGCUCCUCAUCGCCGCCGCGCUGCUCCUCUACUGGAUCCUCUUCUCCAUCACCUCCCUCGUCGUCAGGCUCGACCAGCUCCAGCAGCGCGUCGACAAGCUCAAGAAGCGGGACGACUGAUCUGAUCCUGCUACCCCUCCCUGAUUCAGCGCGUCGACUGACCUGACCGGUGGCUUCGCUGUUUCUUCCCUACUCGUUUGUGUUCUUAGAUAUAUCAUGUGAUGCGUGUUGCUGUGUUUUUUUGUAGUAUGGAUAUGGAUGCUUGAGAUCGUGAUGCGGAUUUGAGCGUUCUAUUAUUUGCUUCAGAUCUAGUUUGAGUAAAUUCUGGUCUUUUAUGCUACGAAGGACAUGAUACAUCAAUUUCUCCAAAAAAAAAAGUUGCAAAUGUGAGACUCUAGGUUAUUUUUGGAUUAGUGGGAAUAAUAGUUUUUACCUGUUUUAUCACGAAGGUCGAUGUGGGUUGGGUUUUGGUGCAAACAUUGGUAAAUGAUGCAAUGCAAACUCUCUAUAUCUUGGAGGAAAGCUCCACUUCUGGUUUUCAGUGAGUUAGGGCAUGUACUUCUGAGAUGUUGAUCAGUGAGGCGAUUGUUUUUGUGAUGUUAGACAUUAGAAGUUUGUCUGAUUGUGAGAAAAUUCUUCAGGGGGAAAUUGUGCCAUUACCACAUAGUGCCCCUUCCACUUUGCCGCAAGUUGAUUGCAAUUGCUAAUUUGCCACAUACUUGAGCAAUUUUCACUGCAUUUGUUCACGGUAGGCGAUGAAAUGGUAGGCUGGGCCAAAACUGAUAAAAACCAGCUGCUACAGGUAAAUUCAUCUUAUUAGUAGUGAUUCUCUCUGUAAAUCAUUUGGUAGAGUCCAAAGCCGUGAUGAUGUUGUUUUUCCUUUAUAACUCUUCCACUCUGGUGAUUAUCACUAUUUACAAAGUAAGUUGGAGCACAUCCCUCGUUAUAUUUGCUCUUGAUUUAUCCUAUGAAGGACAUGAUACAUCAAUUUCUCCAGAAAAAGGUUGUUGCAAAUGUGAGACUAGGUUAUUUUUGGAUCAGUGGGAAUAAUAGCUUUUACCUGUUUUAUCACGAAGGUCGAUGCGGGUAGGGUUGGAUCAAGCUUGUGAACAAGGGAAUUGCAACUUGUUUGGUGCAAGCAUUGGUAAAAGAUGCAAUGCAAACGAAUAAGCUGUUUGCAACUUAUUUUUUUUAGGAUUAGCUGUUAUACUUUACACCAAAGUUUGUGAAAGUGUUAUCGAGUGCAUGAACUUGAGCACAACUUGAAGUAGUUAAUCGAAGUUCAACAACUUGAGCACGCUCCCCUUUUAUGCAAAGGGUUAUAUGCAUGUUCUUUGAUGUUCUUGUUAACUGAAGCACAUUUUUAUGUGGUACUCCAGCCAGUAUCUACUGUACAUUGUUAUUGGGAACAUUCAUUGGAGUCUAUUGACAUGUUCCUUGAAAGGUAUCCUUUCUAGAUUAUGGAUUUAUGCUGGUUUCUUGGAAGAUCUCGUUCGGAGUGGAAACAAACUGACUUCUUCUGUCGGAUCGUGUAAUGUACAUGUUUCAGGUCAGUACCAGCUCAUGUAUCGUAUACUUAGGCCCUAGUUCGAAUAGGAAAACGGUAGAAAAGCCAUAAUUAAACUUCAAGAUGAUAUUUAUCCUUUUAUGUAAGAAAGUUUUUGCACGGUUUUAAACAGGUUGAAAUAUAUUUGGUAAUGGAGACCGAGGGAAAUCUUUAGAACGAACGGGGCCUUAAUUUUACGACAAGAGAUUAAGGGCCACUUGAUUGAUGCCAAAAUGUGCCGUGCUAUUUUUUUUAUAGUUUGAAUAGUAAAUAUGAUGGUUUGGUUUGAAGCGAAAUGGAUGGUAAUUCCCAUACUUAAUCUGGUAUAAUUCUAGAAUUUUCUUCAUCGUAACAUAAAAUUUGGUUUCUAAUUGGUACUUCCUCUGUUUCAUAAUGUAAAUCAUUCUAACAUUUCUCCAUUCAUAUUGAUGUUAAUGAAUCUAAAUAUAUAUAUCUAUCUAUAUUCAUUAACAUCAAUAUAAAUGUGGGAAAUGCUAAAAUGACUAAGUAUCAACCUAAACACAUUACUAAGAAUUCUAUCAUAUCAAAUUAUUCGUAGUGCCAAAACAUAAACAUGACUAGGUUUUGGUAAAGAAAGCCCUAACACUGCAAACAUACAAACGUGGCACCGUAGAAGAUCGAAACAGGAUGCCGAGACCGACUCGAAAAGGCUCGCUGGCCUCCGUGCCCCGCCUGGCCAUUGUUAACCCUUGUUUUAUAGGCCAUUGUUUCAAGGCCCGCUUGGCCUCCGCGACAAAGCCGCAAAACUACAAAGUUUGCUGUUUGCUUGUUCUGCUUUUCUACACGUGAGAGCAACCAGGGGCGUACCUACGUGUAUCUACCCGGUGUCUUCGGAUACCGGGUAGCUUAUCUAUUUCUAAGUGUUUUAGGGUCAUAUUAAGCAUUAUAUCACUCAAAAAUUAGUCUAUAAGCAUAUCAAGGAUCCCCGGUAAUUUUUGUUCUAGGUUCGCCACCGAGAGCAACACGUCAAAACAUGAGCACUGUCAGGUGCUUGGCAUGCCGUUUCCUCUGGAGAUCGACGCCUUCUCCCCAUCCUGCUCUCGGGAGAUCCACCACUCCUCCUCAUGCCGCUCGCUGGUACAAGAGGCCGCUUCCACGCACGGCGGCGGCCGCGUCCGUCGUCGCCUCUGCGGCCGUCUGGUUAUUCGGCCAUCAAACCAACGCCUCCCCGAGACCCAAUCCGAGCUUGACAUACUGCAGCGAGGCGUUCCUAGCUCGAUCGGCCCUCCCGGAAAGCCACCCCGACACGGUUCGGGUGCGCCGGGUGGCCGCCAACAUCGUUUCGACGACGCUGGAGGAUGCGGUGUUCGGGCAGCGGAGGCUGUCGGAGAGGAUCGGGCACCGCUUCGUCCCCGGCAUCAACUGGAGGGUGCACGUCAUCAACGACGACAAGAGCCUUACGGGUUGUUUGGAGAGCGGUGAGAUCUUGGUCUUCACUGGGUUCCUCAACGCGUACUGUUAGAAGGACGACGAUUUAGCCACGACGCUCGGCCACGAGGUAUGUUGUUGGCAAAUACGCCCCCCCCCCCCCCCCCCCGCAUUCGGUCGUUUAAGAAUGUAGCAACUUUUAACUUUCAUCUAAACAUAUAUUUGUCCAUGUACGGGAACAUAUUCUAUGCACACAAACUUCUCGUGCAUACUCUGUGUACACCAACUAGCAAAUGUCACGAAAAAUUCUAAAAAAAUCAUUUACUCCUAUUCAUAUUACACAUAUCUAGAAAGUCUCACUUCAAAUUCACUAUAUUUUACCGUAAUAAAAAAAGUGAAAAAUCUGAUAAUUUUAAGGGCAAAAAUCUGUCAGAAUUUUGUCUUUUUUAUUAUGGCUAAAAUAUAAUGAAUUUGAAGAUAAAAUUUCACAUGUAGGUGCAAUACUAUUUGAAGUAAGUGUACAAUCUUUUAUAGAAUUUUUCGUGACAUUUGCUAAUUAGUGUGCACGGAAAGCUUGUUUGCAUAGAAUAUGUUCCCUUCAUAUACAUGUUAAAAGUUGCUUUAUUUAGUUAUGGAAAAAGUACGAAUUACCCCCACCGAACUAUCGCGGUCGGCCGAAUUCCCCCCUAAACCCGAAAACCAGAUAUGACUCACCCCGAACUUUUAAUAUCGGACGAAUUACCCCCCCUCAACGUAAUCUAAAGCGGUUUUAUCCUACGUGACGCACACAUGGCAGCCCAGUCAAUAUUUUCUUUUAAAAAAACAUGGUGGGGCCCACCUGCCAAUAUGCUAUCUCUCUCUCCUCUUCACCUCUCUCACUCUCUCUCUCUCUCCC
RNAcentral lists this long non-coding RNA (78013 nucleotides) under Oryza sativa (Asian cultivated rice). Its description in RNAcentral is "long non-coding RNA (OSAT_LNC000444)". The record is from RNAcentral. Lineage: Eukaryota; Viridiplantae; Streptophyta; Magnoliopsida; Poales; Poaceae.